UUUAUGUUAAGGGUAGAAAAGAGAGUUGGGACUCGACUGAAGAAUGAAUGAAAUCGUAGUCCUAUUUCUGCUGCGCUAAGUCCUGAUUGUCCUGCUUGCUGUAGCUCCUCUUUAGUCGGAUAGUCCCACUGUAGCUCCUUCCCUUGUUGUAGAGAGAGAGGUUUUUGUCCUUCCCGAGCCAAGUAGUGAGUCGGCCUAUUCUUCUUGUCCUGCUGGAGCUCAAGCAAAGUACUCUCGUGAAAUACCUGUUCCAAUUCUAGGAUCUGGUAAGGAAGCAGAAUCAAGAAAGUAGACAUCAACGAGAUCAUAUCAUAAUAUAGACUAUUGGCACCACUAUCCCAAACGAUCUAUCUAAUCUUAACUGCUUACAGAAACUAGAAACUUGAAGAAGAAGAUAAUAUCACGUUCCACAUACAUAUGGAAUGAAGUAAAAACACCUCAAUGCUAUCCUUUUGCUUCCAUACUAUAUUACAAGACUGCUAUCCUUUUCUCUUUUUCACUCUAUAAUGUUCUAAUAUUUCUCAGAUACGGAUCCUGUUUCAUAUAAUACUCCUGAUUCUUUACCUAUUUCUAUACUAGACUCCCUUUCCUUUCCCUUUGAUUUUGGCUACUUGACCUCUCCUUGAAGUUCAGAAUUCAUUGAAUCUUUCCGAGUCGUUUAACCUAUGCCCAUGUUUAAGGACUGGGGGCGUAAGAAGGUCGGGCAAUUCUCUAAGUCAGGCAAUCGAUUUCUUUUCAUAUGAUUAAAGUAGAACAGAAAGCCAAUGGAACAGCUCAAUCCUCUGUCUAAUUACCAAGUUGUUCUAUACUUGACUAAACUAGCUUCUUUCGAACAGCUUCUUCAGUAGGGAAAGCUAUGACCACCUUGAUUACCUGCUGACUUUCGAAUGGAAUCUUUGACUUGCGCUAACGGAGUGUAGUCGGCCAACACUGAUUCAUUAUCAGGUCGACAAACUGAUGAAACUAUACCACAAGGAGCAGAUCUCGCAUCUGAUCUUACAACAUAAAGAAACUAGUCUACAACACUUGUGGAAUGUCAUUGCCUCUCAAGAACUGGAAUGGUAGCUUCAGAUCCUUUACUCUCUUCUGCUAACUCGAAAUCAGGUGUUGUAAUAAGUUCAUCUUAUGAAUGGAGUGUACCUAGUAUAGACCCAUGGAGCGGUAACAACACAUCUGACUUUAGGGAAAACUUAUAGACCUACGGUAGGAUACGGAGUUGAGAGAAUUCGCUGUAGAAAGUAAGUAAGGCACGGCACUCGAAAGAUUCAAUCCAAUCCUUUGCUCGAACUCAAUUUCUCCUCUUAAUACAACAGAUUCAGUUGUUCCUACUCCUUCUAUUGUUCUAGCCUCUGAUCAAGUAUCUUCUCCAUUCUCUUGUUCGCACAGAGAAUCUAGUUUAUUUACCUACUCCGGGGACAGUCUCUCCAUCUUCUCUAAGCCAAGACCGGAACUCAUAUUUGUGGUUUUCCAUUCUUCAAUUCCAGGUAUCAAACGGAAUUCUUAAAGGCAGAAGGAGCACACGGUUGGUUUAGAGCCCAAGAACACACGGUUGGUUAAGAGCCCGUGGUGGAUUACCUCAUUAUAUAAAACAUGGCUAAGUCCUAUCAUUCUGAAAUUGCGUACUGCGCUAAGUAAACUAGAUUCUGCAAUUCAAACGGAAAGAACACUUGGUUAGUUACCCGGUUCUAUGAGAUCCCUCUGGCUAAUUAUUCCCGGACUGGGUGUUGAGUAAGUACAUUCGAAAUCGUACCCUAGCGCUUCAAAGCCAGAGUACUAUCCUUGCCUUGCACCCUCACUCAUUCACUCCCCGCUUCUGACCAAUACCCAGCUUAGAAUUCUUUACCAACUUAAUAUCCCGGUCUCGCUCUUGGAACUGUGCAUCCUCACCGGAUUCUGUUGUCGGUGUACACUUCCCUGCUCCUUUACCUGCCUCCAAUCCUUCCUACCCUUACCUUCAUUCUGAAACUAGACCUUCCCAUAUAAGAGAAAGGUUCCGGGUUAAAUCACUUAUAUAAGAGAAGGUUCCGGGUUCAAUCACGUAUAUAAGAGGUUCAAUCACUUAUAUGUUUGGUUUCCAUUCAAUUAGUUCUCUGUCAUCUCUUGGUUGAUCCCUUGCAAAUAAGACGGAAUUUCAUCUAGUGUGUUUCUACGUUCCAACUGUUUCUUUUCCUGACUUAGAGUAAAUCCAACCCUAUACUCUCGCAUUCAAAACAAUAACUACGCUGACAACAAGGAAUUAGGAAACGGAAAUCAAGAUAGUAAAGUAGGAUUUUCAGAAUGGAAUUGAGGAGCAAUAACAAGAUCCGGAGUUGUAGUUAAGUAUCCAAGAUAACAUACAAGAAUAAGUGUAUUUCCAGAAUUCUAUACUAUAUCCCUUUGGCUCAAUAAGAGAGAUAUUAAUGGAAAUGAAACAAUCAACGGAACCAGCAAGCUCAAGCGCAUCUGUACUGAAGCUUAAUACUUGUUCUGGGCACGGCAAAGCGGGACAAUCCGAAAGUGUUGGCGACUCGAAUCCCAGUUCUGUAAAUGGAAUUGAGGCAUCCAUCCCUACUAGGUUGAUAAGUUAAGCACCGAACCUUUACUUCGCAACGUUACGUUUCUAUACAACACACACUGCAUCCCUUUCUUUUGUCGACUUCUCCUGCAUAAGUAGUAUCAAUCCCUUUCUUUUGUCGACUUCUCCUUCAUAAGUAGUUUCAACAGAAUAAAAAGAAACUAGAUAAGGAUAAAAGGCUUUAGCAUAAGAAGAAGCUUUAUCCGGAUAAAGAGGCUUGAGCAAGUAGUUAUUCCGUUUCUGCGCUCGAUGAUACAUUCCAUUCAUUCUUUUUGUUGCGGGAAGGAACUAAAGGUGGAGUUCGGGAAGGGAGUUGAUAGUUUACAGAAAAGCUAAUAAACAAGUAGUAGAUCCAAAGAAAGCAAGAGAUGAGUCAAGUAAGUCGUCAGCAAAAGAUCUGGAUCAUAAGCCAUUACUAGUUUUCCUGGCGCUAGUUCAAGUCCAGUUUUCUCCUUGGUUCACGAAAAAAAGAGAAGUGGACCUGAGCCCGCGAUAGCAAGAGGAACCAUAGACUAAAGAGAAUAGAAAUGAGUCAAUGAAGACUUUCUUUAGGACUGAAGCCGAUCCUUUAGUAGAUGCCACAGUCACGUCAACUCAAGUAAGCGUUAGCGCCUGCAUACUCACUUCACUUCACUUUACUUUUCUCUUGCUUGCCACAAUCCUUUCCAUUAUAAAGGAAGACCAACCAAGACUGACUUGGGAAGACUAACCAAGACUGACUUGCAGGGACUAAUUCCUCGCUUGCAACUACUUUAAUAGAGACUAUAUCUAUGACACCUUAUUCAUUAUAUACUAUAUCUAUGUUAUUCAUUAAUUACUUUAUCUAUGACUCUAUGACACCUUAUUCAUUAAUAGAGACUAUAUCUAUGACACCAGAAGGGCAGGGAACAUACCAUACCAAUAACAUACUAUACUCUACGGUCGGCAAUAACAUACUAUACUCUACGGUCGGCUAGGAAUGAGGAAGCCGUCAAAGCCCCUCGACACCCAUAUAGGGAGAAUUGAGCAUCAAGAAAAGCACGAGAUUGAUGAUCCAAAAGAAACUAACAACACUUUGGAUUUCAAGAAGGAGCAGCUAGUAGUCCUUCCUUAUCAUUCUUCAUAACUUAGACUCUCAUAUAUGACCGAUGAAGGGCUGAAAAGGAUGUUUCAAUCGAAGCUUCUUGGGUAGGAUCUUUGCGCCAGAUAGUGGGGAGUUUCCUUCUCUCUGUCCCUAUACCCGAAUCGUACCUAUUCCAUUGGUUACCCGAAUCGUACCUAUUCCAUUGGUCAAGGGCUAGCUCCCCUUUCUCUUCCCCAAUUUAGCAGAAUGAGUAGGAGCUGUGCUUUUACGCGAUAAAGAAAGACGAACACUUGUGGCUUUUACCCUUGGCCCAACAAACUAAUGCAGUAAAUGAGCCGAUCAAUGAUUGCGCGAGGGAAGAUAGGGGUUGGGGAAAGACAAGAGAACUAAUUGAUGAAACCUACUCUCCAGGACAACUUCUUGCGGCGCUUUUCUACUUAUAUCAUAAUAGACGGGUUUAACCAUACAUACGAGCACUGGCUGGGAAUGCCACUACUGGGAUUUAUACGAAGGCAGGUGGGAAUGGGCCUGUAGAUCCAAAAAGAAAGAUGUAAACCCUAUUUAUUGCAAAGAUAGUAAGAUAACACUGCUGACAUAUUAAAUAAAGUAACAAAACAGCUUCAAGUUUUCUGACAUAUCACUUUCAUCACUCAUAUCGGUCUCUGUUGUUUGAGGGAAGAAUGGUCUUACUCAAAGGUUCUGCCUGCUCAGUUUGCUGUCUUUACUAAUAGCUCCGAUAGAAUCUCUUUUUGCGGUGAUUAGACUAGAUCAGUAAGAAAAUGGUAUCCAAACCUGUAAAUGGCUAUCUUAUUCUUCAUGGCACCCUUGUGUAUUGACAUGAGGAGUGCCUUUUCUCGAGAUUGUUGGCAUCCAAUUGUAAUCACAUCUCAUGGUGAAAGAGAAGGGAACGAGACUCAGGGCGGUCACCCACCUGUAAGAUAUAAGAAAAUGCUAUUCCAACCCACCAGGAGGAGAGAGAUUAGCUAGUUGCAAGAGGAGAUGCGAGAGAAUAUACAGUGCUUGUCAAGUCUAAGUUCGGUGCUUGGCUUGCUUUAUGUUAAGGGUAGUUUAGUUCGGCUCUUCAAGGGGAGUAUCUUAGUUUGCUGGUUUUCCCUUGCCUUAAGCUUGUUCCGUUGUUUGUUGCCUUCACAGAGCAGAGACCUUAAGACGAGACUAAAGGCUUUUGGCUUAACCGAGUUAUGGUAGGUAACACCUUUGCAUGCUUGGUUUGACCGAGUCGUGAGUUGGUUCAAGGAUCAAGUUGGCAAUUCCGUUUGUUUUGUCUUGCUUGUGUCCAAGUGUCAUAAAGUGGAGUUCCAGCAUUGGCUUGACCGAGUAAAGAAAGAGUCAACAGUGAGAUUACCGCGUACGCUACGUGGAGUAAUAGAUGGAAUAAGUGAGUUUUAGUUCUUAUAUAUGUGAUCUAUGUGAGUGAAAUGCUUUUAAACAAGUUAAGGUCCAAUAAUAGUAUAGGACUUUCAAGCAAGGGUAGCAAGUCAAGUGUGUUUUCGUAUCGGCAUUAUAAGGAGUGCAAGUCAAGUGUGUUUGGGGGAUCUGAAUCCGUAUUUGUUGAAGAGAAUGAAGAAGCUGUUCCGCCUUCCAGUUUUGUGUUUGAGUUGAAAGCUUACGCGAGUUCUGCGCACCCAUAAUCUAUAUAGUAUGAUUUCGUUCCGGCUAUCCGAACUACCUUAACAGAGACAAUAGCUUGUUCCCCUUAUACUCCCAACGCAGUUAGUGCUGAUAUAUGAGUGGAACUCACACCCCGUCCACGCCCGAACCUUACCUUAAUGAGAGAAUAAGUGGCCUUAGUGAUGCUUGUGCGAAUCUAAUUGUAUAUGGAAGCCGAGAAUCAACAGUCGAAAGGUGUUACACGGAGCGGUUAAGGUCAUAAUCAAUUCCUUCUGAUGAAGCUAAUGCAGAGAAAGGAACGAAUAGGCUCUGUUGCCCACCGAAAGUAGAGUUCACCUUCCAAAUCAAAGAAGUAAUAAUAUGACUAACAAAAGUCAAAGGUCAAAUCACGUAUUGGUGCUUGGUAUGCGAGUUAAGUAUUGGUGCUUUCACUGGACCACAUAAAGGUUAGUCGAAAGUAAGGGUAUAAAGCUUUAAAGGUUGAGUAUGGAGGAGAGUUUAUAUAGAAUGUCUUUGGGAAUACCUCAAUCAUUAUUCUUUUCUUCAAGUAUGGAGGGUUCGAGGAAAGGAAACUUCAGCUCGACAAAAAGAGAGGAAAGGAAAGUUGUAAAGAUCAGUUUCAAGAUCUUCUGCUGUAUAGAUUCGGCUUGCUUCGUAAACAAGGGGAGUGAAAGUUAUAGUUUCAGAAGCAGCAUCUGAGGCAGGAUAAUCCGCUGUAGAAAGUAAGUCAUCAAACGAUUCUUCAAGUAUAGUUUUGUAUCAGCAGCAAGCGGUAGACCAGACCAGGCAAUUCCAUCAGUGUCUUGUUAACCUUUUGAAUGCCCACGUAGCUUGGCGCAAGGUUUAGUAUCAAGUAAGCUGCAUAGACUGGAUAUGAGGCUGGCUAAAGUGAGUUACAAAGAAAGUAUAGUUAAGGUAAAAAGCUGGAUCAGGUGUUUAAGCGGGAAGGAAGUUCGUUUUCUUUUCAAUUCCUCUCUUAUAUGACAUGGAGUCGAAUCCCAAUCUUCAACUUUACCCUUUUCACUCAGACAGGAGUACCGAUACUGACUUCAAGUAUUCCUAUCUAAACUAAAGAAUAUAAGUUUACUGGUAGACGGGAAAGACAGAGAUGGGUUUACAGCCCAGCCCGCUAACUAAGUUAAGUACUCUCCAUCAGGUGUUCAAACCGUUGCUAAGUAUUAGCUUGUCCCGAUUCUUGCUCUAGUACUGUUGCUUGCCCAGCGGCUAAAGGAUCCGAAUCCGUGGUGAAAUAAUGAAAAAGUGCUAGUGGUAGGUCGGAACCAAGCAAAGACAGGCUAAAGAGAUGGUAAAGCAAGGUCCUUUUCCGCAGUGAAAGUAUUAGCCGGCAGUAGUCAAUUCAUAGUUUUGAGCUACAGCCCCGUUAGCAGCAGUUCGGGUGCGAGAAGCACCGGUGCUAUUCCUGUCCGCGCCAGUGCAAUUAUGAUUAGCUUUAGGUCUAGUCUUUCUUUUUCUGUCCAGGUGUUAGAGUUAUGUCCGGGAUCCCUACCUUAUAGCUCGAUCCCUUAUUUCUACUUUGAUUAUGUUACUAAUGAGUUGGAUUCCUACUUAUGAGGUUGUCUCUGACUUUCCCACUCCUGAGUGCAAUUCUAACUAGUCUCAUUCCGACUUCCCUUGCCUCUGAGUUGCUUCCUGAGUCUACUUAGUUUCAUUCUGAUCUCUAACUUGGGAACUAUGGGGAGUUAACUCUACGACUAAAGGCUCGGCUCCAGGUGGUAUUGGUUUAAGUCUUGAUAGUAGUAGUUCUAUUCUGUUACUGACUAGUUCAAUUCUGACCUUUCCUACUAGCUCAACCGAGGUUCAUUCUUGGUGCAAAAGGGUUUGAAGUCUGAAGUAGUACCCUAAUAGGCAGGGACGGUGGAGCAAGUCAAGGGAAUCGGUAGGCUUGGUAUUAGUCUUGAAGUUAGUGCUUUCAUUCAGGCUUAGUAGCUGUUGUUGAAGCCUUUGCCCUAGUGGGUUGGUUCUUAGUAGCUGCUGUCUCAGCAAUUAUAAUAAGGUUGGUGUGAGUUGAAGGCUCGCUCUCUCUUGUUUGAGUCUAUCCCUCCUUAGCUGCAGGCUUGGAAGCGGUGUUUGAAGUCUUGCUGGCACUAGUGGAAGGCUUGCACCGGUCAGCUUCAUUCUCUAACUCCUUAGCUACAGCCUGUAACUCCCUGGGUUAAGUCUUGAUAGCAGUGGUGGAAUUCUUAGACACCCGAGUAGAAUCCUAAAUGUAAUCCUUAAUAAGAAGAGAUAGAAUUUAGUAGUUAAUUAGUAGAGAUCAGAGCCACACAAUUAUAUCUUUUGAUCAUUGCUUAACACAAGCACUAGACCUAGCGCACAUCUCCCUGAAUUCUGACUUUCCCUUAAGGGCAUGCUAUAUAAAUACGGGUGGAAUUGACACCCCGACCCGUAAUCCUUAGUUUGAGCACCCUAGCACUAAAGUGAUCUUUCCACUCUACCACACAGAUAAGUACUGCCGCUAGUGCCACUUAACUAUUUGCUCCUCUCUUGCUUCUUUUGUAACACCAGAUAGAUGGUUGCUUGGCCCGGACUCAUGUAUUGGUAUUAUAACACCUUAAGAUGUGAGUCAGUUGUUCUUUAGUUCCCGGUGCCCAAGUAGAAGAAUGAGGCUGUUGAAAGAUCCCCUCUUACUAACGCUAUACAUUAGUGGUCGACCAGAGAAGAAAGAGCAUCCGCAGUUUCAAGGUAUAGUUAUAGUGUUGGCGACUCGGAACCCUAAUGCUUUUUGCACCCUAUUCUUAAUUGAGCCUCUUUUCCAGUGUGACUUCCACCGCUCAACCUCUGCUUCCUGCUAAAGACUAAAGGAAUAUCAGCUUCACUCGGUUCUUAAAGUCUUGUUUGUUGAGAUUGAGGUUCUUCUUCACCGACACAAUCACUUCUCUACUUUAUACUUCUGGAAUAAGAUUUCAAAACAUAGGGAAUGUCCUCAGAAUUAAUUGAAUCUUUUGAUCCGCGAGGCAAGACUGAAUUUGGAACUCCUUUAGCCGACGCCGAGUCAACAACUUCUGUUAGCGCCUCAAAGCCUGUAGCUUAAGAUUCUUAUAGCAUUGGUUACUGGGUUGGUAAAGAGCACAGGGUUCCUAACGCGCCCCACCCCAAGAGGAAGGAUAGGUCGGGGUUGUCAGUUCAUCAAAUCCAGUUCUGGUAUAGAUUGCUGAGUUGCGGUAAACCAUUGAUUUGAAGCUGUUCUCAAGUCAGCUGCUGUGAGAUGUGAGAGUUGCAGACCGGAGAAGGAUAUUCAUAAGAAACAGGAACCAGAGGCAGAAGCUAAGAAUACAGAAAAAGCCAAGCGUAUACUAGUGGAAUUAGUUUCAUCCCCAUAUUCCCUUGUUUCAUCCCUUGUGUCAGUUGCCAGAGGAACAGAAAUGGGUAAGCUUAUGAAUUGCCAGUUUACAGUUUCAUCUUAUUAUAAAGAAAAGUCUCAAGCAGUAGCGGAAUGAAGUAUCUGAGGCUGUAUCCAAAUCCUUAUUUGUAUCAGAAUACGAAGCGGAAUCGGCUGUGGAAGUAGUUCUGGCAUUGUCUUAGUUCUGGCAUUGUCUUAUUAUAGGUUCAAUAUUUCCUUUCCCCGGUGAACUCACAUAUGUAAGCCAGUGAAAACAGGACAGUACUUGAGCCAAGGAUCGGAUACAGAUGAACUUAGCGCUUCAACUUCCUACAAGUCCUUUGUUUAGCAAGCGGGUAUCUCGGGUUCAAGUAAGCUGUUAGAGCGGAUACAGCAGUAGAUGAUUCAAAAUACCAGAAGAGAGGCAAGUCACUGUAGUAGUAGCAGUUAGAGCAGUUGCAAUAAAGAAAGGUGUAUUGUUGGGUUCUUGUUUUCCUGCGUAACACGGGUGGAUAUCCCUCUUCUUUUCUCCUACUCUAGAUACGGAUACAGCAACUGAUCCUUCAACUGAAACUACCUAUUCUCUCGUCGAUUCAUUUAUAUAGCAAUAGCACAGGUGGGAUACCGCAAGGACAGAAAGAUACUCGUCUCCAACAACAAGAACAAGAGCUGGACUCCUACUACUGGGCAGCUACUACCCGGCUUGGCACUGCUUCCAUUGGACUCCUACUACUGGGCUGCUACUACCAGGUCGAUCAUAGGAUUAUGUUUAGAUCCAUAGCACUUAAUAUAGGAUUAUGUUUAUAAAGACACUCGCAACGAAUACACUCGGUAUUCCACAAUAACAGAAACAUCAUUUCUAACAGAAACAUCAUUUACUGAUCUAGCAUCUAAUCUUUAUUCGACUCCUGCAGAAAUACAAUCAACAGGCAAUUGAAUUGGGCCAGCGGGAUUACACUUGAACUCGAGUAGCAUGUCGUCCGCCCUUACCUUACCUGUAAACCUGGACUACCACUAGUUGGGGCUGGAAACCCGGACUUCUCCUCUUGCUCCUAGUAGUAGCUUUCCGGCUUGGCUCUUACUUGAAACUAACACUCCUGGCUCGGCUCCUGUACAUAAGGUAGGAAUUCUCCGAUCAUAAGAUCUAGUACAGAAGAAUAAGGGAUCUACUAAUAAGAUACUAAAACUAAGGGACCUGUCUGAAACUAACACUCUCAACGGGGGAUCUAACUGCCUAACUAUACGGCUGCGACUACUGAUUCUAAGACAACAACCAGUGCUGGAAAGAAUGACUCUAUUGAAGCAUACUUCCAUUGGAAACUCGGAACCAACUACUAGCUAGUAGGAUCGAACUGUUGCUUCUCGGGCUGCCCUUACUCGCUUCAACUCUAGCUAUCCAUUCUUUGACUUACUUAUUCCAUUAUGUACUCCUACAUAGAGAUACUGGGCUCCUUUACGGAGUAGAGUUCUUGCUUGUGAGUUUUUGUAUCGUACUCCCGGGGUUCAAACAACAUCCCUGCCUCUUAUCCUACUAUUGAAGGACUCGAUGCAGUCUUUUACUUACUUCUCCGAUUCUCCAAAUGCUGGCUAUUAACCUGAUAGGUUCCCCAAUAAGCUUCUAUUCUUUAGCUUCAAUAUCAACAUCAACCUGGCUCUAACUCCUCCGCUACUUAUUCUCAAACUCACUACCUUGCGCUUCAGUCUAUAACCCAGUACUAGUGCUUCUAUAUAGCUACUUCAGACUGAAACAAGUGGUAUCAAGACCAACAACCCUAGUCACUUCCUUCAUAACUACUAACUGCCUUCCUCGCCUAGUAACAGACUUCAUAACUAGUAGUGGGCUUCGGGGAGUCGAUAGGCUUCCUAACAACUAACUGACCUAGCCCAGUAACUGAAUGAAACAACAAUCCCUAGUAUAGGAAUGCAACCAGCCUCCCCUAGCCUUCAUUUCCUUCUUCUCAACCUAUACCUAUUGUUUCAUCCUAUUAUAAAGAAAGAAUAUCAUAGUAUACAUAGGCAAAGAGUGACUUAUACUUAGAGGAGUUGUGUUAAGACUUCAUAGCUCAAUACUCUUAUUAUGUUUUAUACCUGAAUUCGGCUCCUCGCCAGUACUUUACUCUGCCCCGACCUAUCUCCGACAAAGAAAGUACUUAUUCUAUUGAUUUACUAAAUGCUAUACUACUCGUGAUAAGAGAUAUAUUCCAAUUCUGAACUGAAAGUCUAUACGAUUGAAGGCAGAAUCAAAUCGAAAAGAAGCUGCCCGCUCACUAUAGCCCUCCGCUCCAACUCCCAGGUAGCCUAAUUCAGUAUCAACGUCAGUAUCAUCUCAUUCUUUACUAACAGGAGCUCGAACCACAAGUGAAAUUCCCUUAGUUUCAAUUCCACAAGCAGGAGAAGUCCAGUCGACAAAAGAUGGAGCUGGAUCAAGAUCAAGUUAGUCAGCAGUGUUAGAGCCUGUUGAGUUAGGAGUGAGCGGUUCCUCGAACACUAGUGGCCCUGCCGCCCUUAAUGCAGGACUCCCGAAGAAAGGUUAACUCUGGAUGCGGUUAUAUCGUAUUUCUUAUUCAUUCCCUAUUCAUUCUAGUUAAUAAUGUCUUUCUUACUUGCUUUGAUAUGAGGUGUACAAAACCCUCUGUUCGCCUAGUGCUUGUUGGGAAAGUUGACUGCCGCGUAACUAGAACUCGCUGACGCACUUGUUCUUGCGGAACUCCCGUUAGCACAAGUAAAAGAUGCAAAUGCUAUAAGGUAUAUCAAAAGUCAUAUUACUUCUCUAAUGGACUAUAGACCUAUAUUAUCUAAUAUACAAUAGGCGUAGCGCAAGUCCAGAAUCAACAGUUGCUUGUUUGGUGCUAGUUUCUUUAAUCCUAUCAUCCUAUAAGAGGUAUGGGGGUGAAGCAGGGAGAGGUGCGAUAUCUCGGUGUUGCAGUAAGUUCAUAGUCUUCUAGUCCCGCUCUAGCAAGCAAAGUGAGUUCUUGUUGUACGGUUGACUUUCUUGUCGGUUCAGUUCUGCAAGUGGAGUUUGCUUUAGGAAAGUUCGUUUGUGUGCGAGUCGAGUAUCACGGUGUUGUAUCAAGCAAGUGUCUACUAGUAGCUCUCAUAUCGCCCAAAGUGUCUUCACCUAUAAACCCAACAAGUAACCACUAGACAAGUCACUUGUUACGCGUCAUCGAGUUACCUGUUACGCGUUAUAAAAGUUUCAUCAUAUGUAAGAAGAAGAUCUCGGAUCAACUGCAGAAGUCAAGUAUAAAGAAUCAUAAAUAGAAAGUUCGUCAGCAGCAAGCGCUAAGUCAAGAAGAAGCAAGUAACUGUAAUCAAACAAAGAGAGGCGAUAAAGAAGGAGGUAAUCAAACAUAUAGGUAGCUGAACCAGCAACAGAACUGGAUCAAGCAACAAGACUCAGUGCUAAUGUUCCAUUUCCAUUCAUGUUUUCCUCUGCGCUCGAUGUCAAGUCAGUGCCGAUUUCGGGUGCACCAUCUUACAACUAUUUCUUAUUAGAGUAACAAAGGGAAAGCCUAUAUACAGAACAGGAACACGGAUCGGAUUCCACUCAUACAUAAGUCAGAAUGGGAUCUCUCUUGCACACUGAUAGAGGGAUGUCAUAACCAAACUGUUUCUUCCGUUGUUUGUAGAAUGGAAGAAAAGAAUGGAACUGACACGUAAAAGGGAAUAGGAUAGGGUAUGGUCUCGUAUAGAAAGCUUGUAAUAAGGGAAUCCGAGUUAUAGGCCUUUCUUGGGACUUACCCGCUUCGCUUCCUUUAGCCUCUAAUUCGAUAUAAGAUUGAAGUUAAGGUGAAACACCAACCUCUAUAGGAUUCAAGUUGCAAAGAGCUGAACCCCUAUUAGACGUAAAGCCAACAAACACGGAUUCAACAAUCACAGUCAAUUCAUAAGCUCACUUUUGAACGGCUUCAUAUCUUUCUUCCUCACUAAGCAUCUAAUCUUGUUUGCCAACACAGAUUCCACUCGGGAUGCUAAGGGCUAACAUGUGGUAGAGUCAAGUCACUAGAGUCAAGUCACAAGUAUUUCUAUACAAUAUGCUACUAAAAAGCGACUCGCGAUGAAACAGAUGAAACACCCCAACCGCCUCCGGACUCUUUUCUUUAACCUAACUAGAAUAAGGUACUCUGGCUUUGAAGCGCUAAGUGGUCAAUGUUUCUUUGGGUGCUUCUUAAACUGGAGCGAGAAAGUAAGGUGUUUAGGUCAGAUCAUCGCUGGUCACAUAGUCGCCCGAGGUAUUAUAUCAGAUAGUUGCCAUAGUCGCCACCAAGUAUAAGAAAUAACAUCUGAAUUCUCUCUUCUCUGACAUGCCUAGCUCCCUCUUUUUUGUCGGUAGGGAGAAUCAGUGCCCUUACUGGGUUAGUUACAGGGUUCAAUGAAUUGUAGCCCGAGUGAAAAUAGCCAUAGGUAGAUUAGAGUCCAGGUCCAGGCACAGGCCCAACAACAACAAGAUCUGAAGCCGGGGAAGACCUUUAGCUAUCGGGCGUAAGGCAGCUAGGCACUACUAAUCUCUGGAAACACAGAUCUUUCAGCAGCAAGUGGUGAUGUUUUCGUAAUAACUCUUAUUGGCUGCCGUUUUUCAGCUCGCUGACGCUCUUUUAACUCGCUACCGUUUAGCUCAGGCUCCUACCGCACAACGUCCGAGCACAGAUACUGUAAUAACUUCGUUAUGACUUCUGACUAUUGCUGACGCACAACAUUAGCAGUUGUUUGUCCCGUUGCUUGGUCAUUAGUAGUUGCUUGGUCGAACACAUAACUAGUAAUAACUGGGGAACUCUAGCGGCCCUGCCGCGCAACAUUAGUAGUUGCUUGGCCCUAUUGUUGUUACUGCCGCACAACGGCGUAGCCGUUGCUUGGCGUCUAGUCUAAGCUUGGCCCCCAACAAGCAAUGGGAGAGAGGCGAGAAAAGAAGCAAGCUACGUUCGAGUUAAGUCCAUUAGAUCAUCAGUAGUUUCAAGAUCAUAAGCAGUGGGGUAUUUCGGAAACAACUAUCAAUCUGGUCUUCAAGCCUUCAACUAGAAAUCCGCUUUCUCUUGCCUUUACUCGGACAAGGGGUCGGGGUUUCUAUUGCCUAUAAAACAGUGUAGCUCCCCCGCUCCCUUAUGAUGACUUUAGAAUCGACAGAAGCACAAGAUCGGAAGAAACGGAAUCAGGGUAUUGAGCUAGGCAUGCUAGAUCUACUAGGUAACUUCCCUCCCCUUUUGCCGACCUAACGGCUUCUUCUCUUGAUUCUACUCCUGCAGAAAUACAAUUAACAGGCGCAGGACUUACUCAUAACCGCCGGACUUAACCGGAGUUUGCUUGAGAAUUAUGGCUUGAGGUAUGGGAUAAGAGGAGAGAGAGGCUUUGUUGCGAGGUGUGGUCCACAGAAUAGAGUUUUCUACUUAAAGAAUCGAUUGUAGCUGACUUUAUCACUCUCACUGGAACACCGGAUUUAGAGUGGAAUACCGAGUUUCGUCUUCAAGUCCUGUGUUCGCCUUCCUCAUCAGUACAAGAAUCCAUACUUUAUUAAACGCACACAGGUAAGGGGCGGGCCUUAGCUCGCUUGCUUAUUGACUUUCGAGCAGAGGAAUAAGAAUAAGGGAAUAUAGAAUCCGACUACUGCUUUUCCUCCUUUAACUUAGAACUUUGACUUCACUACUGGUAGCUAACUCUUGCUUGACUUUCUUUUGAAACUUAUACUGAUGCUAAUAAUAAUUGAGCUACUACUGGCAAGGACCGAACAGGUGCUAUGAUAGAACCCAACUGCUGGUAACAAGAAUUGAUUACUACCUACUAAGACUUUCAUCACUGUUAGCAAGGCUUUCACAACAAAUAGGGAAGUUACACUCACCCUGACUUUCCGUUUAUAGCUGCUGAACCGGCUCUCAACACCGUAUCCAUGCUUUGAUUCUAACUAUCCUGAUUGACUCUUGCUUUGAGUCUACAUAUCCCCUGCACCUAAUUCUCUGACUUGCUAGGGGGCUGAUCUGCAACUUCGCCUACACCCUAUUAGUAAGUCCGCCUUUCCUGUAACUCAGACUUCCCUUACUGUAUACUUACCUUACUGUAUAUAAGGCUUACUAUCCAACCGAACGAACUAAGUCUCACUUUCCUAGCUAACAAACUCAAACUACCGAUCUGGUUUCUUCUGUUAUACUAGUACAGUCCACCCUACCUCUGACUUUACUGAGACCUAUGAGCCUUCCACCUGGUCUUUCAAUCCAUAUCUCCUUGAUCUCCGCCUGCCCACUCCUUGUACGGGUAAUAAGAAUCAGAAUAGUACUUAAUAGGAAGGUAAUAAGAAUAUAGGAAGGUAAUAAGAAUCAGAAUAGUACUCAAUUGGAAGGUAAUAAGAAUCAGAAUAGUACCUAAUAGGUGAGUAUCCGAAUAGCAAUAAGAGUAUAGGAAGUUCACUACAGGUAACAAGGGUCGAUGUAAUUGAGCUACUGAUAAUGCCCGUAAGUAGAAAACUGCUGAUCUAGCAUCCGGUAACCAAUCAGAAUUACCUCCAGGAGUGCAAGAACCAAACCAGUGCUAACAAGAAUGUAACUCACUAGUCCAAGCCUGAAAGCACUAAAGAUAGGGCUCGCGGGUAUAGCACUAAGAAUUGCACUCAGCUAACUCAGGCUCAUCUAAUCUACUUAUUGCUCCUAUCGACUACUACUUUGCCUCACUCCUACAGUUGCUACUAUCUCCUCGCUUCCUCGCCUGUAGACUCCACUCUCACUGCAGACUGCUUUCCUGGCACAUAGUUUUGACUAACAAUUCUAUUUUGGGUAGGAUAGCUCUAUAGUAGUUGGCAUUAACUUGUCCGGUGAAGGGUAAGCAAAAGGGGGGUUGGUUUCUAGCGCGGUGUGUACUUUCAUUGUCUACAAGUUCUGUUAUAGGCUUGACGUCUAUGAAGGAUGGGUUUAAAGCCCCCCGAGUCUGUUGGUAGUUUCUUUAGUGGUGGAUCAAUUCGUUCUUCAGCAGUAAGCAAAGCAGUGUCAUCGUAUCCUGUUGGUUAAGUAUAAAGUGAUCUCCACGAUAGAUAGUCUCUUUCUUUGUUUUCUAAUUCCUUGCUUUGACUACUAAUCAUUACAGCCUUAACCGAGCGCAGAGUUGUUUCAACUCCCGGUAUAAGCUGCUCCAUUAUACACUAUGUUCUGUGUGAAGUUACUAGCCCCCUCUUAUUCUAACUGACUAAUGCCUUUACGCUAAAGAAGCUUAUUUGACUUGUGCCUUAGCGAGCGAAUGUAUUUGACUACUACUACUAUUCCACUCACUUGUUGAAAAGAGUGAAAGAAUAGAGGAUAGACCCGUUACUUUGAAAAAGGAGUGCCAAAAAAGAAGACAAUAAAAUCAGAUAGGUCCGUAGCUUUGAAAGGAGUGCAAGAAUAGAGGAUGGGCCCCUUGAAACUAAUAGAAUAGAGCUACCCACUACAUAUGUAAUAUCGUUCGUAAAAGCAAUUAUUCCAUGCUAUGCCAUUCGAGGACCCUUUUCCUACUCCUAACCUAAUAAGUGAAAUCGACCUACAUUUGCAUUUUCCCGAAAAUGAAGGCAUAGAUUUGCUUUCUUUCCUUCCCCAGUGAUCCUUCCUUUACCUUUAAGAAUGGAGUUUCAGUAUUGCCAGUUGCCUGAGUUCGGGAAGUAUAGUCAAUAAGAUGUAUAGAUUGCUGAGUUGAAGACCGCAUAGUUAUAUAGUAUAGUUAUCAUAUGAGCUAUUGGAUAAGAAACCCUAUCAAAUAAAGGGGUUGGUGCAAAGUUAAUGUCUACUCGAUCAGAGGUUGGAAAAGAAAGGUUCACUCUGGUAUGCCUGCUUGGCCUGUAUGCCCGGGAUGCCUGCUUGGCCCCUACUAAAGGAUAUCUUCUCUUCAAUUUCCUGUUCUUGCUACUUAAUAUAAGGGCAACUAACCACUCCUUUGACUUUUGUCUGCUUGUCCGGCAGGGAAGGAGACUCUCCCAUUAAUAAGUAAGAUAAAAGCUUGUUACCCGCCUAGGUAUUCUAGAGCUAGAGCACCCACCCUCGCUACUUUAUAUUACAAUUGAACUAAGUCGCCUUAGAGAGUUAUAGGCUUUCCUCGCCAUAAAUAAGUGUAUAGGCUUUUAAGCUGGAAGGAAUGUACUGGUCGGGAAGAUACUUGUUCUCGAAAGAAAAGAAUCGAAUUAGUUGACAGCAGGGCUUUCAGGCGGGAAAGGUAGAGUGCAAGAGGCGAGUAGGCAUCCGAUGUUAGUAUUACAAGAAAGAAAGUGAGGGUGCUUGGUCCGCUAGGUUUAGUUCAAUAGGGUAGUGUUUUUGUCUUGUUAAUCCUUAGUGGGUUUCCCUAUUUCUUGUUUAAGUGCGAGAAGCAGUAAAGUGAAGCCUAUGAGCAGGGUAGGACGUCUUUGAGUAAGCAGUAACAGUAUUCGAAGCAGCGGUCUCAGGUUCAGAACAAGGGGGUCAGUUCAGAGGAUAAGUCUUGUCGGGCACUAAGUUCAGUUAGCACCGGUUCAUUUCGAAAAGUCGUAUUUUAUAGCCAGGAAAGGUAUACUAAAACAAACAAGCAAGAAUCAAGGUAAGAAGUAGAAGACUCCGAAGUGAAAUGCAUAACGCAAGAAAAAGGGCAGGGCUAGGUUCCGAGUUGAGAUCUUGUAGUUGUAGUAGAAUCUCUAGUUCCCAGUUAAAGGAUUCAAAGCAGUAGUUCUUUUCUUUGUAGCAGUGUGUUUCUAUUCUCUUUUCUAUACAGUUGUACUCCUUAAGAUAGUAGCGCGUAUCGGGGACAUAUGGGUGAACUGCGGAAUGCAAGUAACCUGUAUAGGAUAGAAUGUCGGGAAGCAAAGAGAAAAGGCAAAGGGAUAUCUGAUUUCAUUCAAGUAGGGAUAGACUAACAGGUGUGUCCAGAGAGAAUGAAACCCUGCAGAGAUAGAUUGAUAGCCAGUAAGGUAAGCCUAUGAGUGGGGAAUGGCAGACUAACAGGCGAGAUAGAAAUGGGAGAUAAAGACCUGGGACGCAGUAGAGCGAAUCCUAUAGUCUAGGGAGUUUCAGGAUCAAAGUGAAGAUAGUAGUAGCUAGCUUGGAAGCACCAGUGACAGCUUGAAGCGAGGAGAGGCAUACUUCAACAUACAAGCAGGCUAAGGGAAUAGAUGGUAAGCCUAAGAGCCGAGGAACGAGUAAAAGAACCGGCAAUACAUAAUUCAAAGUCAUAAGUAUAAGCCUAUAGCCCUGCUAGCAGUGGUUCAACUCCGAGUUAUAAGAACAAGUAUUUGUUGGCAGCGGCUCAAUUCACAAAGACAUAACAGUAACCCCCAACUAACAAAACGGAUUUGGGGGUUUUGAUUCUUGCAGAUGUCCCCUGGGUGCUGUAUUCCCUUCCCGUGUUUAAAUCCUUAGACUCCUUUCUGCAAUGCCUAGUUCCAAGUUCCGUUUGAUAUCCUUAUUACGUUAUGAGAACAAGUGGGUAGGGCACCGUAUCAGAGUGAAGGCAAGUCAAUUAAGCCUUACAGUCCAACUACAAAAUACAAAUAAGCAAUGGGAGUUUUAGAGCUCGAGCGAGGAACUGCAUAAUUGAGGUACGGCACCUAGUUCUUUCAGGUGAGAAAUCAGAAUCAAAGUUGGAGUCAAGUGAUCCGGAUCUCCUUUCACCCAAAUGCCCCCAUAAGAAUUUGACUCAUCAGUAGCAGACCUAAGCUAAGGCGGGAAAACAUAUAAGUUAGCCCUACAUCCCUGUCUUCUAUUCUUUCUCUACAAACUACGAUUCUACCGCUCCUUACUGACUUUCUUUAACACUGACAUGGAAUCCCUGCUUCUUAGAUUUAGUACUCUCCUCUCCUUUCUGAAUCGAUUGUUCCCAGAAGCUAUAGCUUGUUCCACUUGUUCUGCGUGUGCCUCAAUUCAUUCUUAUACUUCUUACUAUCGUCGACUUCUACUUUCAUUUAUUCUCCAGCAGAUGAUCUUGUCGACUUGACUUCUUCUGAUUUAUAUCCUGUUCAAUCUACAGGCUAAGAUCGUAGGAAGAAAAGGAAGUCCUAUUUAUAAGGGUAAGUGUCUUGCUAUCAGCUGUUUUUGUCGGUAGUGUCACAGUUUCAUUCCCUGUUUCUAGUAAGAGUAUUGCUCGUAGUAGAUCUAUUCCGGUAUGCCUAACCACCUAGGGUACAGUUCCAUUUUCUUAUCACUAGUCCAAUUCUAUCCAUUGCCCGUUUUAUUAUGAGAAGCACUUGUUCCUUCUAUUAGGAGUGACAUUCCAAUAAGUACUAGUUCAGUUCAAUUAUGGAUUCCCCAGCUUAUCCUUGUAAGCAGUAGGGGCGCAGCCUCAGUUUCAAGUUAAGGUCUUGUCAGCACUAGUUGAUUCCCUAUAUGGAGUGUUCGAUUCACACUGAGUUGGUUUCGUUGUUGCCUUAGCUGUAGUCGGUUCAGUCUUGUUGGCCUGGGUUUCCUAGUUCCGGGUGUCGGUAUUGUUAGUAGCAGCUCCAUUCCUUUGAGUAGUGAUAGCAAUCUCAUCAGCAGCGGAAUUAGGACUUGCACAAGUUAUAACAAUUCCUUUCUUCGCAUUACAAUUCCUGUUUUUGGGAGUUCAAACACUUCUUUAAUAACUAUGGAUUGCUCCCCCACCUCUGUAAACAAAUACAGAUUCGACUACUCUACUACUUAAGGAUGAAACUGGGAAUUCCACUGAUUGAACUCUUGAUGGCAACUAUGAACUUAAUUCAGCUAAUCUAACUCAUGCUCAUCUACCGGAGUCAACCAAUACAGAUGCAACUUUACCACUACACUCAAGCUUGCUUCUCUGGCUCAUAACUCUAACUCUGACAACCCUUACUAUUAAAGCUUCCACUCUAACAAGUACAGGAACAGAUCCUAUUGCUACUACUACAACUACUACUCCGAUAUUUCACUAAUUCUUCUUUCUGACCAGACCCGUUAGCUGACCUCUUACCUGGUAGCUGACCUCUUACCAGCGCCUAAACCCUACUUGAGAACAGAAGAGCAAAGUAACUACUAGACAAGUAAAGGAACAGACCCGCUUGCAACAGGCUUGGCUCUGUAAACUAACUAUUCCUCUGAUCUUGCUAAUCUACCUCGACUCUGGACUAGAGCAUCUCAGCUAACUUCAUUCGGCUCAUCCAACUUGAAACAAGCACUCCUGGCUCAUCCAACUCGGGCAACGAAUCAAGAUGAAACUUGGCCAAUCCACUACUACUACAUUACAUCUGGUGGAACACUAAGAAUUGAACCACUGUUUCCUUUCUAAUAGGAGCUUGUUUGUAGUAGGAUUCGGCAUUAUCUUAGUUGUACAUAGGCAUAUGGAUGCAAUAAGGCUACUCUCGGCGGGGUGGAUUAGCUUACAUUCGCUACUGCUGCAGCUUGUUUGUUUGCGCCCUAGCUUAAAAGUGCUCUAUGCCCAACACCGGGAAAGAAGAGUGUUUUGCCGUUGAAGCGCGAGCUUAGAUCCAUUUUUCUUAUGCAACUUAACAACAGAAAUGCGCGUCGUACUGAAAGUAGAGUCUCCGAGUUAGUGUUAGAGUCUCCUUUAGAAUAAUAGGAUGGAGCUAUAAGGGGAAGAACCAGAGUGCUGAGCUAGGUAUGCUCAAAGAAUCUAUAAUAAGAGAAUCAAUAGCCCACUAUAUGGGUAAGAACCAGAGUUAUGAGCUAGGUACGCUAGCCGAGUUAGUGUUAGAGUCUCCUUUUUAGUAUCCAUGUGUUAGAGUUCCCGCUGCUUUCGAUCCACCCCUUCCCUUGCUUUAAUCAUUUUAUUGAGUGCACCACUACCACAAAUAUAUAAUAGUCAACAACUAUAAGGAAGAAUCAAGAAUAAAGUAGGAUAACUUCGGAUUGAAAACUAUCUAAUGAACCCACGCACCCUGCAAUAACUCUAUUAGAUUAAGUUAGCACAACGGAACAAGGCGAAAUCUCUCUUAAGGAAGAAGCCCAGCCCAGCCCAGAACAAGCUUUAGGCAGUGAGGUGAUGUGACCAGUAACUUGUUAUUCUAUAAGUUGUGCCAUGAAAGCAGUCAGCAGAAGAAGUAGCGUUUGUAGAGUCUCGAGUUGGUUACUCAGAUACAUGUUGGUUACUCAGAUACAUAAGUUGUGCCAUGAAAGCAGUCAGCAGUCUUAGGUUACUAUCCUUUAAGCAAGGGUGAAAGAAUGAACACGCUAAAAGAGAAAAGGGGCACCUUAUAGAGCCGAGCGUAAUGGGUCAAUAAAAGCAGAAGCCUUAGCGAGAUCUACUGAAGUGGAGUAUCUUAAAGCAGAAGCCUUAGCGGGGUCUACUGAAGUGGAGUAUCUUAAAGCAAUGCAACGGAGUCAAGCUCUUUAGUCAAGUAAACAAACCGUAUUGCUUCCAACAAGAAACUACUAACGCAGAAGUUCAUAACAACACUGCGAACUCAAGUAAAGUAACAAAACACUAUUUUCUGUGCUUCAAAACUCCUAAUGCACAACAAGGCCUUGAGCCAGAUACUGGUAUUAGAGCUAGCUUAUAUAGUAUUUGUAUCAGGUAUUAGAGCUAGCUUAUAUAGUAUUAGUAUCAAUCAGCCCUGCCCUAGCCUUGCCUGUUUCAUUUCACUGACAAAGAAAAGAAGCAUUGAACUAACACGAACAUUAUAUGGAAUUGGGUAAAAAAGAGAUGGGUAGGUUCUCCAAAGAGCAUAGGUAGGUUGUUUCUACUCGUAUUCAAAAUAGAAAAUAAUAAUAAGAAUUUUGGAACUUGCAAAGAAGUCAUCAACGGCUUGCGGAACUCACAUUAGCACUUAUAGGUUACUAUACUAAAGAAAGAAGCGACUCUCGUCUCAGGUCAACAACAACGGCGCUAACAGAAGCUUGAAAGAUGGAAUUGACUCUUGACUUGUGCACUUACGGAGUUUGCCCCACCCUACCAGAUAGUCAGCCUUAGCUAUAGGCCACACCUGCCACGCUCAAGCAAGGACAAGAAGUCUCUCGCGGAUACCCAUACUUGCUCGAAGUAAAGUAUCUCGUCUCGUAAGGUAUCAAUCAAUUCUUCAAUUCCUGAACUUUAGGGAAAGAGUACUUAGGCGGGUUAGCAUACUUUACAGGCAAUAAGCAGGCAAUAAGAGUUUACGCGGAUCCAACAAGGGAUUCAACUCCAAGCGCAUAAGCAUUAGAUCCUUUAUCUCUUCUUACUCAAACACCAUUUGAAAACCACUCACUUCCUGGAGGAACUCUAUUUUGUGACCAAUAUCUAUCAUACCGAGCUAAUGAUUCUGUUUAUUAUCUUUCUAACUUAACGGAAACUGCUUCUUCCCCGGAUCCGUAUCCAGAUCCAGCAUCUGCUUAUACCUCUUUCUCCCCUGUGUUACAUAGAUAUAUCCAUACUAAACUAGAAACGCUAGAUUCCGAUUAUGAAAUACACUGUCGACCCGACCACCUCUACUUAUAAGUGCAGAAUGUCAUUAAGCAACUUCUCUCGCGGGUCCACGCAUACGCACAAAAUGCAAUUGAAAACUCCUAAUGCAUAAGCCAAAGAAGGUAUUGUUUUACUGUCUAUGAGCUCUAAAACGGUGUUUUGUACUUUCUUCUUCUAUUGAAUAACUAAAAAGCUACCACUCGGGUCUAUCAGACUCACUACCUUAUCAAAUAAGUCUUCCUUUCGCCUCUAAACUCCUUACUAGCAAAGGAAUCAGAUUUAGUGUCCCGGGUUAUAAGACCUAGACGAGAGGGUGACUUCACUCGACUUACAGGAAAGGGUGACAAGUGUUUCAGUUAUCCGCAUACUGUGUCAAAACUCACCUCUUUAUGUUGAACAAAAGAUUUCCACAUUACUCCGCUCUUCUUACUAAACCUACACCAAUAAGCUCCCGUAGCAAUAUAUGCCCAUGUGUUAGCAUCUUAGGAAGCCUUGAUAGGAUAAGCAUCUCCGUCCAUGGUAGGAAUCGAGCCAAGCGCAACUUUUAGGCUAUACUUCAAUCAAUAAUUCAAGGCUUUUAGUCAUCGCUCUGUGAAGGAGUGGGCGAAUCAACAUCCGGCAAAGGCACUGCUAGCGCACUCUCGUCGAUCCACCACAAAGGUUAACGACGUAUAAGAGUUUUGAAUCCAAUGGGGUAAGCUCUAAACCAAGAUUGGAUACUAGGUAAAGAACUUAACUCUACGCACUGAAACAAGCGACGGAACAAGAAGAAGCACCGCCCUCCUUACUCCCUAAACACAAUGACACAUGAACUCAAACAUCAUUUCCUCGCACCCUCUGGAUACGAGUGUAAUUGAAUUUCCUCGCACCCUCUGGAUACGAGUGUAAUUGAAUUUCCUCGCAACCGACCUAUACUUGCCUAUUCUCUUAGCGCCUAAGCUUGUUCACUUACUGAUGCCUACUGAGUAAGUCUGGUCCCGGACUUUUACUGUUUGAAUAAUUCAUGGAAUCUUUCUUUCUUGCAGACAAUGCUAGAACUACACUUGAUUGACUUCCUACUUCGCGCUUGCUGCUGAUUGACUUUAUACUGUAAUUACCCGAGAGUUGAUUCUUCCCCUAACUGCCCCCACUCGAUAAGAAUGGAAUGGAAUCUCUGCUGACCUGAGCUUUCGCACACCAUCCCUUUCUUUGGAAUCUGAUUAUGAUCGGCUUGGCACAGAUCCAUCUUUCGCUUCUGAUCCUUCACUUGCUGUUGACGACUAAAUUGAUUAACUACUUCUUAUCGGUUCGGCUUCAUAUCCUGCUCCUAAUAGAGAUGAUUCCUUGCGCUUAGACCAGUUCCAAAUAUGCUUCUGAUUCAAUGCGCUCUUCCUAGGUGAGAGAAAUUCCUUUCUUUAGAGUCAAGAGAGAGAGCAAGCAAGUGGUUAAGUUACAGAUGCAACAAACAACGGGUAGAAUGAACAAGCAAUGGAUCGAGUCACUACUAAACAAGCAUCAUUUUUGGAAUCCUUUGAGCGCCUUAGAUGAAACUCGGGAUUAACGGAGAUUGCUGCUGUCAACGCGGAACUCAAACCUGCUUGCUACUGCGGGAAGUGACUGUUAAUAAGUUGUUCCAGAGGUCUUUCUUUGUCUUCAUUUUCUUUCUUUGUCUUCAUUUGUUUAAGAUCACUACAAGGGGCUGAAGAAGGCAAUAAUCUCGGUGUUGGACUCGGGUCUCUGUUACUGUUAAGAGAGUUCGUGCGGGGGCGGGGUGUGUUAGUGAGUGGUGCGGCGGAUGACUCUCGGGGUGCUAAAGGAAAGGCGAGCAGUCUGAGGUCACUUUAAUGAAAGAUGUAAGCAGCGAGGAAGCAGUUAGGUUACCUUCAAGGAGUGGGUGCUUACGUGAGUUCCAGAGUUCGGUUCCGCAGCCUCCGCAGUUGCUUUAUAUUUGACCUACGUCUCAGCAGUUGAUCUUCAAUCAACAAAGAACUCCUUAGCGGUAAACUCGCAAACUCCCUUACGAAAAUCCCUUCCCUUUUCGUUUGCCCGAAGAAUCCAAUCAGUAUUCAAUCUCCCAUAUAAGUUGAGAAAGAGUCGUUUUAGGUUGUCCCUUAUUGAUAGCCCCGAGUCAGCAUUUAUGAGCUUAGCGGGUGGAUAGUGCAAUAAGCCUAUAUCGAUCCUACCACCUUUCAAAUCCAUAUUUUGGAUAGCCUCUCGCCUUUCGAAAUCAGGUCUAGCAUCAACUCAGUCAGAUCUUCUCUUGUUUGCCCGCUUUUAUUAGGCUUCCAAAUCAUCUUUGAUCGGCAUUUCGUGCCUGCAUCCCUGAUCCAUUCGACCUUUUCUCUGUGAGUGUAGUUGUAGUAAGGUUAGAGGCGCCACUAUCAGAGUAGGCCAGGCGCUAGUUUCUUUUUUCUUAUAUGUCUUUCUGUCUCCGAAGUCCCUUUUUCUCAAUGCUGUCUGUCUCCGAUGAUCCAAAUCUUGCUUAUUAUUCUAAUCUAGCUUCAUAUCCAUCUUCGGCUUCAUAUCCUACAAUAACAGUCCAUUCAGCUGCUGCUUAUUCUGAUUCUAGGGAUUCUUCUUGGCCCAUUUCUUAUUGAUUAUUUCCCCUAUCCCCUGUGUGCCUUGUCAACAACUACUUUAUUGAAUCUUGGUUGCGCAGAGUAAACCUUUUAUGUUAUUGAAUCCUUCUUGACUUGCAAAUAACUCGCCGCGCUACUGACUACUAAGCUUGGCCCAGGAGUGCAUACCGAAGCCCAUAUCCAUUAACAGCUCAUGGGAAUGGUCAUAUGUGGCAGUAGGCAUCAAGACCGACCCUUUCAAAGAGCCUAUUCUAUUCCAUUCCUCAAUAGAGGCACAAGCUAUUAUUGAAAUAUGCGUAGUCAUAGUGUGCUCAUUUAACCCAUUGAAGUGAAGUCUUGUCUUGUCCACCGAUUGUGGGGUAACGGGAACUUUUCUUUGGGAUUCGCUUGGUUAAUCGUACUUCCAAGGGUGUCGUACUCCAGCUUGCCAGGACUUUUGACUGGCCUAGGACCACGAGUCAGAGGCGCAUCUCUUGUCUGUCUCACGAUGGUGCACCACUAAGGGCUUUUCCCUAACAGCGGAUUCCUAGAAUGGAUUAGAAUGUCAACUGAAUCCGGAGUGCAUCAUCCGCCCCAAAAAGGCAACUUCUUUCUUGGUGUACAGCGUCGACUACUGAGUCGUCUGCCUCUUCUUAAGAGAAUUUGAUCAGGCACGCGUUUCUCUAUAGAGUGUCCUACUACACACACCUCCGUGAAACUCAAAAAAACACUUCUUUCUUCGGGAGAAUCUAAUUAAUAUAAAUAAUACCUGAGGUCGGGAUCGAGGAACUACUGCUGGAGAACUGCUGCUUACUAACUGAACUUUCCAUAUCGUUUUGAAUUGGGAACUUCAAGUAUCGUUUGCGUCGACAAGCGAGUUCCCCAUCUCAACGUCUUCCUUCUCAUGAUCCAAAAACCAAAUUCACUACUGUCAACUAUUUCCGCUAUUCUUGAAGCUAAGUCGACUAUUCGGCAUUCAACAUUCUUCAGAAGUACUCUCUUAUUGCGCACCGUCUUUUCAAGUUAUCGAAUUCUUUUUCCCUUGCGAGUUCCGUUGCUUUAAGAUACUCCCCGUACUCUGUACUUUUAAGAAGGUCAUAAUCAAGGUGAAAGGCAGGGCUAUAAGGCUUAUUUCUCUAAGUGGAAGGCAGGGCUAUAAGGCUUAUUUCUCUAAGUGGAAGGCAGGGUAAACGAUACUCUUAUGUGGAAUCUAUCAUUGAGGGUCCGCUCUGAGAAUACAUUAGUAGCCUCAAAUACUGGAUUUGCAAGCACAGAGUCAAUACAUAAUCCUUUUAGCACGAGAAGAUCAGAUCAGAGAACUCCGUAAGCAGAAGUCAAACAAUCAUUUCAUCUAUCGAGCUAAAGUCAAACAUUCAAAUCAGCUGUUGUUUAACCCGCUAACGCACCCGCUCCAGAAUGAAAGGAAGUAGUAGGAAGUAGUUCAAGCUUAAAGCAUAUAGUAUGAUUAACUCGGGACUGGAACUCCACAUUAAGAAGAACCUAGGGCUGCUGAUGAUUCGGCUUCGCCUUUUUCUCCGGAUCCUUCUCCAAAUGCUUUUAUUCUCUUGUCCACUCUACUAGAAUGGAAUUUGAUGAUUCGGCUUCGCCCACCCGACCUCUCCUUAAACAUUAAUUUCCAUCUAUCGCUGUCAGGUAAACUCCCUUUAGCCGCUGAUACACUUAUUCUUGUUGGGCUGGGCCUGUCUGUGAACAAGCAGUAAAGGUCAACUUUCCUUCCCACGGAGUUUGCAACUAACUUGCAUUCGGCUUCAGUCAAACUAAGAAAGAAUUUCCAUCUAUACUUUGCGCCUACGCCUAUAAGAUUGGAUUUGAGAUCAGUUGCACAUGGGGAAUUCCGUAAAUACAUAGCUUGUUAACCUUUUGAAUUAGCAUUAGCGAGUUAACCCUUGAGAACUGCUUCCUUAUAUGAUGAAACAUAUCCUUAAAAGAAAGCAAGCGCCUUAACCGAUUAACUGCGUAGCUACGUGAGAGAAAAGAAAAGAGAUGAGCCUAUAGCCCUAUGCAUUCUAUUAUAGAGUUGAGUAGAUUCCGCUUCAACAUAUGAUAUAAGUGGAACUGGGCGAAGGAUACUUCCGGACAGAUGCGCUUUCGCCAACACCGAUACACCUCUUCUUCACGGCAACACUUCUUAUUACUCAGAUUACCGCUCCGGGGGGCUAUACUGAGUCUAUACAAUAAAUACUUUCGCUUCUAAACUCAUCUGCGCAUAUGAAAGAAAAGAGUAGUAAACUACGGGCUUGACGGAGCUUCUUCUCUCGUUGACAACACUGCACCCUUACAAGACUCUCUGGGCUAUCUUUCUGUACAACUAAAUAAUGAGACCAGCCCUGGAAUUCCAUCUGGGUUUUCCCUUGUAGUGGUCCAGUCCAAGCACCGAACCGCGACUUGACUUCCAUAACUAUCCCAUCCCCGCGUAGUAACUAAACUAUACUUGCAGACCCAAUGGCUUUAUACCCUUACUUUCGACCCUUGCUUGUUCCCCGAACUUCCUUAACUGAGACCAUUGCACUUUUUGCUAACUUAACCUAUGUGAAACAGUGCUAAUAGAAAAAUCCCUUCAUGGAAACUCUCCAACUGGACUUAUAAUGAAUUUCGCCUAAGAAACAUAGACCCACUCCUUGACCUGACAUUACUUAACGCUUUAGUCAAGUCAGAAAAUAGUACAUUUCCAUCUUCGGCAUCAGAUCCAGCUUAGACAGCUUACUUGAGAGCUACUUCUUCUGUUGGGCCAGCGCCAGUACCUGUAAUUGAUCCAUCCCCUUAUUCCCCUUAAACAAACAGCCGCAGAAUGGAAUGACACCUUUCGAGCACAUUAUGGAGAUGGUAUAGAAAUGGGGAAUAUGACCUAAUCUAUACUUCACUUUAUACUUUACUGAGUUUUGCUUGUUUGCUUGUUCGGGACUUGGUCAUAACUUGGCAAAUGGAGAAUCUCUCCUCUGAUCUUGCCUCUGCCCUUAUAAUAAAUGGUAGACUCACUACUUCCCGCCUCAGAUCUUCCUUCUUCUAUGGGAACUCUACUUUCAACAAAUCAUUCUUUACUUAGCUCUCCCUCUUACCUCUGACUCUUGCUCCUCUGUUGCUAUUAUACCUAAGGCAACUAACACUCUCCUCUGGCUCUGGCUCUUUAAUAAGUGCUCUAGAGCUUAAGUCUCCUUUCCUCUUGAACUCCUAUUUCCUAGUUUCCUAUUUCCUCUUUCUCUAGAAACUCAUAGCUUACCGCAAGCACCUAAACUAGUCUCUGCAGAGGCAAACAAAGGGCCCUUACUAUCAUUUCUGCCAAUAAGUCAACAACUACGGGAGGGGUGCCGGUCUUCAAGCCAACAGAUACUGAAUGGAAUUCCGAGGGAACAAACAAGAGUCAGUUUCCCAGUCAGAAGAAGUUCAUUCUACCCUAUAAAGUGGAAAGUCAGCAGCAAGCGCAAAAGAAAGUCAAGGUGGUCGAGGAAAGUCUAUCAGAGAAAGAUGUAGAAGAUGGAAAGUCGAAUGGACGACACUUUACUAAGAUCUAUACUAUGUGCCCGCUAGCGGAGUUCUCUUGUUCGCAAAUCCAGAUUGAGUCCAGGCCAUAUAUUAGAUAGAGACACUCUUUCUUUUUCCCCUUCUCGCCAUUUGUUGUAAGAUAUGCUUUGUUGUAAGAUAUGAUAUAUGGCUGUUUGGUUACUGAAGCAUAUCCAUGUGCAAUAAUCAGAUUCUUGACCUGUGCUAUAUUACCAUAUUAGGAAGCUAUAGAUGCCGGAAGAGAGAAAGAAGCCCAAUUCAAACAAUCAAUACAAAUAGAGAGCUAAAAAAGUGCUAUAUUGCUUCAACGCUAAGGUACCAUUUCGAAUGUCCUUCCUCCGCGCUAAGAUCCUUCCUUUACUGUUUCCGUUCUACUUUCAUCGCUAGUUUCAUCCUAUAUUAUGCAUGUUUCACUCGGCACAAGAAAAAUGACUGGUUGACUCUCGCCCUACUGCUCGAAAGAAAAAAGUGUCAUAUUUCUCAUAUCAUUGCUUAACACAAGCACCGAACCCAUGCCUAUUAAGAAGUGAAGAACCUACUAUCCACCAAUCAACUACUAGGCACCAAUACUAGGCAAAACGGGACCCAUACCUGAACUAACUCUAUCUGACUUGCCGACUUCAACUCGUCUUGAUUGAUUUCCUUCCCUAGUGCUACUCUCUGGCAACAAUUAACUAUAUAAGAAUUCUACUCUCUAUAAUACCUAGGCGGUGUAACAAGACUGAUUCAGUUGCUCCCUAACCCGAUCUUGACUCUCUACUUUAAGUUUCAGAAUAUCUUGCAGCUUAUGGAACUCUACUCACCAAGCUUAUACAAGAGUCGAAUCUCCUUCUUUAUUUCAUAAUUCGUUUAAGUAGUGGGGUCGAGAACUUGAACUGGGCAUUCAACGUCAACAAACAAGGAUUGAACUCACCAAUCAACCUAGAAAUCAAAAGUAUAUAUUGUCUAAGUAGUCAAAGAAUUCAACUAGUUGUCGACUUGGGUGCUAUGCCCAAUAUUCUGCUAUUGCCUACCUAUCCGAUGGCUGAGCCUUUAUCCUAUGCCUUUUCAUCUAAUCCAACUCAUUUGUUUUCAACUUGAUUUGAUAUCUGAAUUAGGCUCAUCUACUUACCCAAGGCAACAAGACCUAUGGCUACAAUUUCAUAAUGCCACUAGUAGUUAAGGCCACUACUCGGGGAUGUAAACCUAGACCGCUCUACUACACCUAUUGCUACUAAUAAAGAAUUGCACUCGGAUCAUCUACUUCAUAAGCUAGAUCAGCUACAGGCAGAAUAUCUUCCUUCUUCAAGCGAGGUAUCUUCGAAGCACCUUUGUAUGCGAAGGAGCGGUCACUGGAACAAGACUUGUGGAACGGGUCGAUAACACACCUAUGGGCUGGGCUAGAUAUGGAACUAAUUGUCCUGAGAAGAAACCCUAUCAAAUGAUAUAUUCUCUUUUACAGAUGAAACUACUCUACUACUUGUUUAAGGGUCAAGGGUCAUCGCCUAUGUCUUCCAAUUCUAUUCCUCAGUUGUUUUUGCUUGGCCCGAUCCUUUACUUCUUUUAGAGGGUCCGCUUGGCCUCACUACUAUAGUUACAAAUCUUGUAGUUGCAGUGAUUGGCUUGACCGAGUUUCAUCAGUUAUCCUUAAUAAGAACAUAUACCUAAUUGAGUAUGGGAAUAGUAUAGAUCAUAUCCAAAGAAAGGGAACUCGUUUCUCACUUUUUGGAAUGUUUUUUCAAUUAGAAAUUAUUUCACCACUACUCAGGUAGUUGCGGCGUUAACUGGGCCCUCUCUUUGCCUUUACCUGCUUGCCCCCUUGUUGGAUCUGUUCUCGUAUAGUUUCAUCUGUUCUCGUAUAGUAAGUAGAAGAAAAGACAUAGCUUGUUCACCCUUUCGCCCGAUAUACCCGGAUGAAAACCCUUCUUUUGAGUCCAGUGUUUUAGGGCUGAUUGAUACGGCAGGGCAAUUCAUAGUUACUAGUGGCAUUCUUAGUCGAGCUGGUAUAGUUGACUUUUGAACUCACCCCUCGUAGUAGUUUUGACUUGUAUGCUUGGCCCUUCCACCGGCAAUCCAAUCCACCGGUUACGGACAUUCCUUUCCUCAUAAGGAUAGUCUAUCUCAGUAUAGUGGGCAACUCGUUUUUCAAAGAUCAAGAUAGGCAGGAGUCACUUUUGUAUCGACAUAUAGCUGCAAAAGUCCUUAAUUCUAAAUAAGUGAGACAGGGAAGACAAGCCAGCAAUAAGCAAUGGAAGCAAUGCCCCAGCUUUUGAACUCAACCAGACCUAGGAACUGCAAUGCCUGUAAAAGAAAGAAGUAAAGCUUGCCAGUCUACUCAUUGCAUUGCUAUCUGAUAGCCAUUGGAAACCUUCUCACUAUUAUCACAUAUAGAAGAAUGCUGCUAUUCGGACAAUCUUCUUCUAGCGAGUCAAUGUCGGAUAAUCUAGCAAGAGCUUAUAGUGCAAGGUGCGGAAAGCCGGAUGGAGCUUAAACAAGUGGGAAUCAAGACAGCAACAAGUCCCAUGUUGAAUGAGAUAGCUUGAAUCUUCCAAUCUUUCUGAGCUAUGAAGUGGAAUAGGCUGUCUUCCCUGUAACUCGGAAGGCGGAUCAAGGUACAUGAACCACUACCGGUGUUGAACCGCUCCUGCCGCUACACUCGAAGACAUCGGAGGUCAAAGGAAAGUCGACAUCGAUAACAGAAUAAUAAGUGGAAGUUUCAGUUUCCAGUGAAAGUUAAGGAAAAGUGAUGGAAUUCUUUGUUGCUUCAGUAAAGUGAUAGUUUAGGUCGGAAAUGCAAAAGAUAAGGGAAUAGAGUAUUGCAUAGACCCCCACGGAGCGGUAAUGAAAGAGGUGAAGCUGUAAGAAAGUAAGCUGCCCAACUUAGAUAAGCGAGACCAGCCCAGGCAAUGAAAUCUGUGUAAAAGUAUCAAUGAAAGUAGGCGAGAGGCCAAAACGAAGCCAAGCCCUUUGUUUACUCGAAUCUAUCAUAAGAAGCAAUAAGGUAUAUUUGGAUUAGGAAUCUGACCCCAGUAUCUAUACGAUCUCGAAAGCCAUCCAUAUCAUAUAUCAUGUCAGUCCUCGUUCCCAUAUACCCAGUGUAGUAUAUGAGUUCAUAGCAGAUUCUGGCUCCUAUUUCUACCAUUUCAUAUUGAAUAAGUUCACGAAGUACUAGGCGGAGCUACUAUUGAGACAGAAAACUCCACGCCGAUACCUAUUAAGGAGGGCUCUCCUUUUUCAUUCCCUUUCUUUCUUCAAUAAAAUAAGCUAAGUAAAGAAGCGAGUUCCCUUUCCUGGCCAGUAAAUGCCAGCGGGAGUGCCUGUUUCAAUUCCCUUUCGAUUAUCGCAGUCGCCGUAUGCUUCACACGUGGUGUAGCGAAAGCAAGGUCAUGGUAUAAAGGCUUGGUUCUCUUCUCGGUCAAAAGCCUAGUUCUCAGUUAGCUAAAAAGAUAUGGGCUAGAGCAAGGCAGAGGAUUUGAAGCAGGUCUAGUCUUCAAAAGCAUCGAUUGGCAGAGGUUUUUUUGUAGCCCAUUGUGAUGAAUAUUGGAAGUUGGAGUUGAUUUUGAUGUCGCUAGGAGUUAUCUUACACCCUACCAGUCUCCCUUUUUGAAAGCCUUUCCGUCCCUUUCCUGUUUCGAUGAGUCAUAAAUGGAAAAAAGCUUAAUAAUCUACUUUCGAGCUUUUCUUCUCGCUCCAAGUUCAUCAAUUGCAAACUUACUUAUUACUUCGAUCGAGCAAGAAUUGAAAGCAAAUUGGAGUCUACAUAUAAGAAGUGGUUUACUUAGGCUAAGGCAUUUCAGUUUACACCCCAUACUAAUUCAUAUGUUAAAGAGUCAAGCGCCUUCCCAUACCCUUAGGAAAACCAGUGUGAAAGCAAACGCAGAAAUCAAUAAUGUGUUUGUUUCUUUAAUCAAAAAAGCAUCGAUUGCUGUUCGAGUCUGAAGGUAAUCUCUUUGGAAAGGAAAGUUCAAGUUCUCUUGCUGAGAGAGAGAGUUCCUGGGAGUUGGAGUCUCCAGACGAGUGUCUCUCAAGUGGAGAUAUUUUCUGACUCGAUCCAUAGGUAAGGGAUAGGAUCUAGCAAGUAUGUUAUUACGCUUAGGAAAGUUCCCCGUCAUCAAAUUCGAAUCCUUCUGCUUUCGAUGGCGCCGAUCUAAUAAUAUACCUUAUAAAUCCAAUAAUAUACCUUAUAAAGAAAAGAUCAAGACUAUAUAAUCCGCUAGCCUAGUUGCAGGGAAUUGGAUUUCUCAGUGCCCGUUGGGAUAAGGUGGAGUCUCUUGGGGCUUACAUCUCGCGCUGUAAUAGAUCUCUUUCCCUUAAAGGUGAUAGUUUCUCUUAAUAAUUCGUUCUUUCCUUUCACUCUAUCGAAGGAUAUGUGUAGGUCUAAGGCGCUGAUAGAUUGAUUUCCUUUCCAAGUGCUAUCUAAGAAGUGAGUGCUCAAUCGAGUUUCAAGUAUGACCGAGUAAUAGGAUUACAGCUUAUACAGGAAUACCCUUUUCUGCUUUUGCUUGAUUCGAUUCAUAAAGUGCUCAAAGAUAAGUGCGUUUUCAAUACCUAAGGCAAGUGUUCUAUAAAUUCGUUAAUAAAGUCCGGGUAGAAAUCAAUACGGAUGGAUUUGAUUGAAGCCUAUAUCUGCCGAUCUUUUGUUGCUCUUGAGCGAACGAAUAGGUUACCUUAUUAUUCCAUAUCCCUCUGCUGGAACAGAAGUCGAGUGGAUCAGUAGCAUCUUGGUAUAAGUAAGUACCGAUAUCGAUAUAGAGCAAUUGUUGCCGGCCUAAAUAGUUGGGCAGGAUAACUCCUGAUAGAUUAACCGAUCUGAGUUUGGUAUUUCCAUUCCUAUAGGAUUUGGGCGGAAUUCCUUUUUGAGAGAAAGAACCAAAUCAAAAGAAAAACAAUGGAGAUCCAUUCACCCUGUCUUUAGAUUCUCAUUCUAUGCUAGGGGGAACUGUUCUACUUUCAUGCAAGGCUUAUUGACGCUGAUGUUCGAAAUCGCUCUGUGUCCAUCUUUACUAACAUGCCUUUGAGAAAUAGAGUCCUUGGUUAUGAUUAUACUGUUCUAUGCCCUCGGGUUCCUUCACUCGCUUAAGAGAACUAUAUUCUUUGCUCUUUCCCCAGACACCGAGACUUGCACUUUUGACUGACAUUCCGCUUGUGUUCCGUGGAGUAGCUUCUUUAUCCCGUCGCAGGAAAGGAGCGACUACUCUUGCUUGGCCGUUAAGAGUUCUGCUAUUUUCUUCUUUUGUGGGGCAUCUUAUAAUCCUUAGUUUUGCUUGCUUCUGUGAGCAUAUCCUGUUCAACGAGUAUGGUUUCUUAGCUACUGGCAUCCUUUCCUUCGUGCUAACAGCCAAAGACCCAUUUGUCCAAUCCAAACCUAUAAGGCGCACAAAGAAGCACUUCUCUUACGAACGUUGGAGCAUCACUUACUCGCGAAUCCCGAAAGACAGACUUCCUGAGCACUUGCCUAUUUCUAUUCAUUUCUAUUCCUUGCCUAUUUCUAUUCAUUUCGAUUCUAUUAUUCUUUGUUAGGCUAUUCGCGGGGAAAAAGAAGGGCCUUUCCUCUUGGCAUCGAUCUCAUAUCUGUGUCAAAGAGCGGAGAUUCUCUUAUCUAUGUCUCUUCUAAACUAUGCAUGCCUGCUCCUAAAAUGCAUUCUUUGUUUAGUUCAUACACUGCACUCCUUCGCCACCCGGAGACAAAGAUUCCAUAAAUGAAGUUUCCUGCAAGCGCAAAGUAGACCAGAGAAUCAAAAGGAGAACGAUCUAAAGUAGAAAGAUACGGGUCUCAAGUAGGAGUAGGAUCUUAUGUGGGUAAAGAAUAUAGAGCUGGUGAGGAAGCCGGGUUCACUCAUAGAAUUAUUCAGAAGCUAACUACAGCGGAAAAGAAGAAAGAGUCAACCUAAAGCAUUAAAGAGAGAAACAGCCCUUAUGUUUUCAAGAGAAAGAAGAUACUUGCUAAGAUAGAUAUACCCCGUUUUGAAGCAAUGCUCUGUUAGGUUAAGAAUUGAUGGAAUAUGCGGAUCAUGUUAUUCAAGCAAGGGCAGCUUAUUUAUUAGAUGGGGAGCGGGUAGUUACAUCAAAAUAAGUAUAGCAAGCCCGAGUUCCCGGUUGAGUCUAUCAGGUAGUAAGCCGAUUCCCUCUUUUGCUUGUUUCGACCUUACCGGUAUUGUAUUGGUGACAGGAUCCGGGUAUCGAGUGCAACUCUUUCCAUUAGUAGUCAAAGGCUAAGUUCCUAGUUAAAGUACUUCCAUUAGCUGUUCCAUCCGCCAAGUCACUACCACAGAUGAGACUGACAUCGCUACUAACGACACAACUAGGCGAUUUAGUUACUACCGGCAAGACUUCACCUAGUACUUCCAAAGCAUUACUCGACCCACACAGGGUUUAGUAGCCCCUGACUUGCUUUCGUUCUCGUAGUCGUCCCUGGCGUUCCGGCUCAACACUUAUACCAUUACUCAUGAGAAUUCAUUGUUGUAGCCCAAGCCGUAGUCUUAUGCCACGCCCAGAGCAGAAAAAAACACGAGUCCUCUGUGUUUCAAAGCUGACACUACUAAGCCAUCAAGUCACCCAACUAUUAGAUCCACCCUAGUGUUAUAGAAAGAAAGUAUAGAUGGUAAGGCGGGGAAACAUAGAUAUCAGAUCUGAAGUAAGUAGUCGAUUUCCUAUUGAGUAGAGCAAGUCUGCUCCAAGCGAGUAAGGAUCUAAAUCAGUAGACACAGGGUGAGAUCGAGCUUUGAGGUAGGUGGUGGCAGUAGAUAGGUCAUAAGUAAAAACAGGCCUAUUAGCAGUAGUUGGUUUCCCGGUUGCUAGUUAAGGACCUGUUAGUGCUAGUGGAAUUCUCUUUUCUUGGAUUCAUUGCUAGAUGCGCUAUAGAUUAUACCUAUGCUUCUAAAUGCCCUAAUAAAUAAGUUCAUUAAGGGUUGCAUUAUGGUUGCAUUCUUAGAAGAACACGGAUAACUAAUUGAAUAAUGAAAAGCGAUAAAAGAAAGAAACACAUAAUAUAGAAUAGAACCCGGGCGGAAAAGACUGCUACUUACUAAUAUAGGAAUAAAAGAACUACUAGAAAGAGUCACUACCUGCCCAACAAACAAGACAACAACUCAUAAGUAGGAGAAUGCGAUCAAUAACAGGAAGACCAGAACUAGCGGUGUAAAGAACUUCUAUAAGAAUACUGAAUUGAGAAGGACACUUGGAAUCCAGCCGUAUAGGAAUAACGACUACCAUAUGGAAUGCAACUAACAACCAUUAGCCUUAAGUUGCUACUGAUAGGGUUCAGUCGGAAUACACCGAACUUGGUCAAGCGCCAAUACUAAUAUAUCAAUAAAAGAAUUGCACCGAUACCAAUAAGGACGGAACUACCAGCCAGCAGCCAGCAGCUGACGCUGACCUUACUUUUCUUCUUUCACUAAUGACCCGGAACCCUGUCGUCUGUAUUGCACCUCGGAUUCUUACACACUCCAUAGAGAUAGGCCUUACUCAUAUAGCCAUAAAACGGAUAAUACUUUCUAUUAGAAUAGAGAAUUGCGCUGGCAUUAGCAGGAUGAAACCGCUGUUUUUAAGGCUGCAUUUAGACAAAAAGAAAGACUUCUUAACGAAAUGGGAGGGAAUUCUUUCACUGCCGGGCAUGAUCCUGAUCCUGUCUCCUUGCUUACUUUAACUGAUUAAGAUAAGACUUGCUCUUUGGCACAAGAGAAUCGAACCUUAUGGCACGUACUCAAAACAGGCAAUCCGAAUAAACCCAAUGAAACAAACCAAUAAGAAGAAUACUAGAAAUAGGAACUAAGCCUGGCAACUACUACCCAUAAUGUAAGUAUUAAUACGGGAGGGCAAAAAGGCAAGUAAAUAAGGAUCGAACUAAGGGAGAAGGAUUGUGCUACUGGGUUGAGUUCUAUGAGUGAAUUUAUUGAUUAUGAGUUGGCAAAGGCAAAGCAAGGAAUAGCUACGUUAUAAUGAGUUAUUCCGGUUUCUCAUUUGUGUUUCUUAGUUUCAUUCCCGUUUUCUUGUUUCGUUAGUGCACAGUUGGAUUCGUUAUGGGCUGUGUCUCAGCCAUGCCCCCCAGGAGAAAGUAUCAUCGGUUUCAGUUCUAUUCAGGGGUUAUCGUCAGAGUAGGAAGAAAGAUGUUUGCUGAGCACCUGCACCAACUGUUAUCAAGGGAAGAGAAAAACAACUACCUUUUUUCACUAAGAAACUAGAAGCAAACUACUAAUAAACUAGAUUCAAAUCUCAUAUAAGAAAAACAUUCUAUCUAACAUGCAUGAGUGAACAAAUUAAUAGAAGAGUGGAACUGGAACAUAGGCAUUUACGAGCUAGCUACUAUAAUACAAAGAAGGGAUAGGCAUAUUUCAAAAAGGCAGGACAGACUUGAUCGAUAGGAUAGUAAGGAUGCCGGAUAGCAGUUUCAGAGCUAAAGCAAGGGUCGACAUACUGAGCUCGCUGGGGAGAUGCUAGAUGAUAAAAGGAACCCCGAUUUCGGUAUGAUUGAAUAUACCACUUUUUCUUAAGGUGCUCGCCCAAGGCUAAUUAUUAUAUCUUAUCUAAUGACAAAUCAUUCUUUCUUUCCCACUUGGCACUUGUGGUAGCUUAGCUGCAUUCCGCUUACUAGUUUUGUUGAGGUCGCUACUCUUUCUUCUCCUUGUUUAGGUCGGCUUACUCUUUCUUCUCCUUGUUUAGGGCGCUUACUCUUUCUUCUCCUACUGAGUUGUUUUAUGUAUUCUGGAAAUGACUGAUUCAGCUAAGGAUCUUACUUAAGCCAAAGAUAUCGUUAUGUUCUUAUUAUUGAUUAUGUCUAUAAGGGGUAAUUGACGAAUUACUAAUUCCAAAAGAGUCUUGACUAGCGCCCAAAGAGUCAAAGUAGGGCGUGGCCAAGCGGUAAGGCAUCGGGGUCCCUACAUUCGGAGGUUAUAAUCCUUCCGUCCCAGAUCGUUUCCAUCAUAAACUCAAGAUGGGAUCACAUUGUAUCCCACAUAAGUGUCAAAAUCAUAAAGAUAACAACCUUUUCUUUUGUUCUGAAUUAGGAGAAUGGAUUCUUAGAAUCCUAUUGCUUUCUAUCUUAUAUCUGACAUGUCAAAAAUCAAUAUAUUUGGAAAUCCAUGUAACGGGGCGGGGGGAUAUUUUGAUAUGGGGAAUCUAUUGGAACUUGAUUGUAAGGUAUAUAUGGAAGAAUUGUUGUAAGGGUAUAUAUGGAAGAAUUGUUGUAAGGGUAUAUAUGGAAGAAUUGAUUGUAAGGUAUAUAUGGAAGAAUUGUUGAACCGGUGAAAACAAUAUAUAAUAUAUCCUUAGAAUUGGAACUAGGCCUAUGUAAUCCGCUUGCUAUCCCUAUAUGUGUCUAUGCUAUCCAUGCUUUCCCUAUAUGCUAUCCCUAUAUGUGCUUAUGCUAUAUCAAAUAAGUUUCUUGUCAUUGUUGUAUUUCAAUAGCAAUGGCCUUUCACUAAAUCAUUUUAGGAAGGGGUGGAGAUCUCUUCUUCUUCAAAUAUCCACGAUUACCCCCAGUUACAAUAUGAUGAUUCGUAUACUUAGGGAAUGAACUAUCCGCUAUGAAUUUGGAGCAACUCAUUGUGCGUCGACUUGGUGAUGGAAUUAUAGAUCCAGUUCUUUAGUCAUGACUAUAAAACAUAGUUCCAGUCAUAAUGCUGAAGUGAAGUCGGAGAUCUUUUCAAACAUUCUUUUAUUAACUCUUGGUUGGUACUCGAAGAAGUAUGAGAAAUCCAUAGUAUAUCAACAAGAAAGGCAGUGAUUCAAGAGGAAUAAUUCCUAUCGGUGAAAUUCAUCUCUUCUCCCAGAUCUUCUUUGUAGUCCGGUAUAUGUCUGAAUUCAUCUUGUCAGUGUCAGUUAGAGGAAUUGUUUGACUUGGCUGCUUCCUUCGAUAAGUAGGUUCUUCCUUUUUUUGACUAUAUACCCCCUCGCUCUUCUUCUCCGUUUUGUAAGUGAAUUAAAGACGAACAUAAGAAAUAGUUGAACGAUCCACUUUUCUAUCCGGCUAGAAAUCCCAGAUAAGCAGUUUUGCCUUCUACACGUACUUUUGCCAAUGCAUCGGCUCUCUGUCCUAAAAACCACACCCGAAGAAAGGCCAGCCCAGAGCUGCUAUUCUAGUUAUUAUAGUCAAAAAGAGGCUAGGCAACGACUCUUCUUUGGUUAUUCUAGUGAAAAGAGGCUAGGCAACAACUCCUCUUUUGGCGGGAACACGAGCAAAGGCAACUUCCAAGUCAGCGGGUACUAGCCUGACAGCCCGACCUCACUAAGGAAUAGAAACAUAGAAAGGCCCUCAAUAAAAGGAAAGAAAGAGUCUCUUCCCCGGAAAACUCUCCUCUUGGUCAGCUGCUCCUCGGUCUCGAACGGUCCCCAGUUCGUUCCUUAAAACAAGAAUCCGCGCCUCUGGUCUUGUCUUGAAAUGAAAGCAAUCUCCUCUGGAAAGGCAUUACUGAGACGUCCGAAUCUCUUCUUAUCUUAUAUUCGAAGCAAGGACAUGUUGGCAGUGAAGUUCCACAGACGUGGUCCAGACAGAGACUAUACUUUCCCUUUCCAUUAGGGUUUUCUAUUGACCACAGACACAGUGCCCCAGAAAAGGCUUAGUAUUCGAUACUGUCGCAGGUGUCCCUACGGCUUCAGGCAGUUCUAUAGCCCGUGCCCACUUUCCCCACCGAGUCAAUCAAAAGUGUUUUGCUUUGGCUAAAGCCCUUUUGUAGAUCCAUGUGGGUCUCCGCCUUUGUCUUUUAGGCUAUAAGGUUGGCGCCCCCCUUUCCCCUGCCCCCCUGUCGUUAAAGAACUUAUUUAGACUUUCGCUUUCGGUUUCAUUUCAUCAGCAGUGAGGGUCUAGAAAAAACUCCUUUCACUGGUUUCCCCUAUACCCUAAGCCGGGCGACGUACGGUGUGACAGACAAAGAAGAUAUGCGUGGGAUUUAGUACCUUACGAAGGGGUAAUCCGACAACCUGUUUCAUCCAACGACAUCGAGGGAAACCCCAAGUCUUCGGGGGCAAGUAGACUAAAUGGAAUAUGAAAUCGCGGAUACACUCGGAACCACUCAAAUCAUGACGAGGUGAAAGCAAACUACUGCUGCAUUCUCAAUAUAUCAUAAGAUCGAUCUCAAAGUAAGGGCGGCAACUAUUAAUAUAAAGAAGGAGAGUGCGCGCUUCCCUUCACUGAUAAGACGGUACGAAAAAGAGUCUGCCUGCAUGAUCGUCCGCUACCUUAGAUUAUACAUCUGUCUUCGCCUAACCAACAUUACUGCAUUGGAUACUAGUGCAUACAGAGAAAAGCCCCUCUCGCUCAAGAUUUCAGGAGGUUACGACCUACUUUUCCUACAAAAACUCACCGCUUUAACUAACUGAGCUGCUUCCACUCCUUAAAGCACUAUCGCUUCCUACUGCUUUAAGUACCAAAAUAGUAUUAGCAUAUAAUAAGAUGAAGAUGCUCGAAAGGGUUCUUUGUCAAGCCAGAAAGCGCAAACCAAAGUUUUUCGAGAGGCCGACCACUUGAGACGGGUAUAAGAACUCACCCUUGUUAGGAAGUUUCCAGAGGGGCGCUUCAAUAGUGUAGAAAUGGGAAUCAAAGACGGAGGAGCCUAGCCUGAUUCUCCUGCUUCCUUCCUUAUCGCUAACCGAUGCUAAUCAUGCUUGACUUUACCUCUGAGAUUGUCCCCAGGCCCUUCUCCUACCUCUAUUGAUGGAAAAUAAGUAGGUCUGUGGUAAUGUCAAAGGUUCCCCACACCUUCUUUGUCUGAGUGCUGCCUCCUUCCUUCUUCCCGUCAAUCAUCGUUAAGGGUUUCAAAUCCAUAGGCGCUGCUAAAAUGGCUUCUUUCUGCCUUGGCUAUAGGAACAUAAUCUCCAUAAUAGGGCGGUUUGCUUCUGAGUAGUUCUGUCCUUCCCUCCCCUAUCCGAGAUGUGCUCUUGAAAGAUCUCCCUCUUCAGCUUGGUUAGGUCUUAGAGAAGUCACUUCUUUACCUAAGGUUGUAGCCAAGGGGAUACUUGAUUCUUCUAACAAAGAAGUAGCCAAGGGGAUACUUGAUUCUUCUAACAAAGAAAGCAAAGGAAAAUCUAUUAUGAGAGAAUCUUCCUUCAAAGAUGCUUUUCUCGAUUCCCCUACAUCUACGAAUGGCUAAAUGCUUUCUCACGUAGGGCUUACUAUAAGGGAGGGGUUCCGCUUUCUUUCAUUCCUAAAGAAGGAAGGGGAAGGUAUUUCCUCAUAAAGGAGUUUGUUCUUAGUAGCAGCCGGAUACCUUUAAAGAGAUAAGUCUACCUUUGUUCCAGCCAUUCUCAAGAUCUUUCAUUUCCGGUUUCAUAAGAGAGGAUAGCAUAUAGCUUAGCCUCAUUCCUAUAGCUCAUAGAGAAGUUCCUCUUAUCCAGCAUAUUUACAUUAGUCAAAUCCUACUGGUCGAUCAAUGGUUGUGCUUGAAGCCUUAUUCUCUGUAUCAGGCAAGAAGAGGAAAGGAAGGUAAGUUCGAGAUAUAUCAUAAGAAAGAGAAGAAAGAAAGAGAUGAACUCUUUAUAAGAAAGAGAAGAAAGAAAGAGAUGAACUCUUUGGAGCGCUUCUCGGCGGUAAGACAGACCGUGAAUGAAUAAGAAAGAAAGAAGAUAUAGUUCUAUUUCCUGCAUGAGGGAAAUCGACCGAUGGACAUGCUUGACUUUACGUAUAAGUAGUGCUAGGAUUACUUGCCUUAUUACAUAUGUCUUGCUAGUAUAUAGCAGUAGUCGGAGUAGCACUAGGAUAAGUCGGGGUCAGCACUUAGUAAACCUUUCCACUCAUACUUAAUAGUAUACCAUCACUGUUAGCAGACUGUGCCAUUCCUUACACUGUUAGAAUAACUUCUCAUCUCCCACCUUCUAUAAUGCGCAUAUUGAGACUGAGCUUGCUUGCAUUAAGCCUAUCGCCUGCCUCCCUAAGACCUUUCUAUUGUGCCUGUCGUUAACUCCAGUGUACCUUCCUUUCGGAGAGUGCCUUACUCUGAAGUAAUAGACUGAUUAGAUUGCCGGGAGUGGAUUCUUCUUUUUACCAAACAUAUGGGAAAAGGAUCCAAUCCAAUGACUUCGAAAGAAUGGAACGAGGAGCAUUCCACGGCCGGGGGAACAGAGGUAUCUCAUGGUUAGUUCUGUAGAGUAGCAGUAAGUGGGGAAUACUAGCUUGCUUUAGGAACUUACUAACUUCGCCGAGGUAACUAUGUCCUCAGCCGAGCCAACUUCAUCAGCAGUUCUAUAUAUGGGUGUUGUCGACACAAGAGAAGAAGCACAAUCCGGAUUAGCAGAUGUGUUUUCAAGUCCACUAUACUCAAUAAUUAGCUUUGCAUUAAAGUCAAGGUUGUCGACAGGAGAAUCUCAAGUGUCUUUCUUUUCUUCUAUACCAAAAGCUCAAUAAGAGAGAUAUUCAAUUCAAAGGUAGACAUCAGAAGAUGCUGUGCCAGGUAAAGUCAAGUUCCGGGAAAGAAUCUAUUACUGGCCGGGGAAGGUAAGAAGAAAAUACUGGCUACGCGGUUCAGGGAAGAGAAUAAUAAAGUACUUCCGAAGCAAGGUGUCAUGGAGACGCGACAUCAAGCCAAUAAUCUCUCUAUACUGUAAGUUAAGGGUUUAGGGCCGCCGGUGACGAAGAAAACACUUUGAUCAGGGUCCUUACACCUUUCCAUACUAUAUGCAAAAGAGAGAGAUUCCGCAAUUCCAGAAUCCGCUGGAGAAGGUUAGGAAGCAGUUCUGGUUUUGCCGACGAGAUCAGUAGAGUAUCUUUCCGUGCAAGUGAAGUCUACGAGAUCAUCCGGAUCUGAAUAAGAAGGGAAGGAGUGGAGUCAGAAGAAAAUAGCCAGUACCAUCUUCUGCCCUACCCAAAAGAAAGUAAUCCUUCCUUGCCUACCCAAAAGAAAGUAAUCCUUCUUUGCUCUUCCUUUCAUGGGGUUUAUUCUGCCGCAAUCCUUCUUUGCUCUUCCUUUCAUGGGGUUUCUUCCGCCGCCCUUAUUAUCUGUCAACAAACAAAGCAUUAGUUUGAGAGUGAGAUUCUGGAAAAGGAACUAAAGCAGAGGCUUUAGAAAGAGGAUCCGACCUCCCGAGCUUAUUAUCUUUAGAAAGAGGAUCCGACCUAGCUUAUUAUCUGUCUUCGGCAGGCAGGAUCGAAUGAGGAUGAUGGGACGAAUGAAUGCUUUUGAAACUACAGUUAAGAGCUUGCUUCAUUUGAUGCUAAGGAACGGAACCUUACUUAUCUAAGUUGCCGGAUAGUGGGAUAUGCCGUACUCUGAUUCAACCGCUUAUGUUCUUCGCCAAUGUUCCAAGGAUAAGGUUGAACACCUUCUAACAUAUACUUACGGACUACUCUGUUUUCUCACUUUUCGAAAUGCUCCUAAGGUAAACAACAUUUUGGACUAGUGGAAUUAGGAGACAAUCUUCUAAAUGUGCCAAGAAAGAGGUGCCCCAAUAGAUAGCUCUGCGGGACAGAUUCCUUCUUUGAGGCUUGGUAUGAUACGGUUCAGUUCCCUUUCUGCAAGGGCGGUGGGCCUGGACAAGUACGCUACUAAAUUCCACCGGAGUACUAAGAUCUAGAUCGAGACUAAGCUCUCAGCCAAGGAUAACUUAGAUGGGCUUCUUUCCCCACUAUUCAAUCCUUAGUUAAAGGGGCCGGUCCGAAAGCUCCGUUUUCUAUACAGCCGAACGCAUAAUUCCAGUUAUUUAUUGUCUCCAGAAAGCGAAACUACUAUCGUUACGCUGCACCAUCAUACGCAGGAAUGGAAUAUAGAGAACCGCUUCUUUAAUACCUUUCAAUAAACUCCUCACUUAGACAUGGCAAAACGGGACCCAUAAUAGGAACCCGUGGAUCUGAAGUCAACGCAGAAGGAUUGGAUUAUGCCUGAAUUAAUAGUAAAGGCCCUGCUUUCCAGGGGUGGAUUAGAGUUAGCAGAGAUGAAGGAAGUCGGGGGUGCUCCUACUAUUGGGGUGCUCGUUAAGUCGUUAAGUUACUGUGGAGCUUCUGUUGGGACUGGGCCUGGCAAUACUGUUCGAAUAGAACCUAGCUCAUUACUGCCUUCCCGCUUCAAAGCAUGGAAUUGACUCUGCCCCACCCUAGUAAUAGGAAUGAAACCACCUUCCCGGAUACCCAGUCCACAAAGAAUGAAACACAAAAGUAGGAAAGGUCGGAAUGACACUAAAGCAGAAGAAUGACCUGCUCCCUUAACUACAACUACCAAGUAUUCAAGUCAGAAGUAAGCCCCGCCAAGAGUCGAGGUGGGCAAGAGAGGCAGUUAGAGCGGAUCCUGUUCUAGCUUCUGAUUCAUAUCCUGCUCCAGCAAGACCAAGACUAGAAGUAAGGGAAGACUGAUUGGAAAUGAAUAAAGUCAAGGCUUUGGUGCGAGGCGAGAGAUGGCUCUUAGCACCUUAUUUGUUGAGACUCGGAUCAAGACUUAGUGGCGAGUUUACAGUGAAAAGUUCCAUUUGUUGAAUGAGUUGGGGCAAGCUAGUAGUUGAUUUAUUAUACAACAUAGCAAUCCGGGUGUAGCAAUGAAAGGUAUUGCUCGAGGCAAGGGGAGGCCCUUAUAGUAAUUGCCAAGAGAGGAAGGAGAGGCCAGUUGCCAGAGGUAUACGGAUGCGGCAGAUUGGUAAUACACCUUAAUGCUCGAUCAAGAGCCCGCCGGUUAGUUCAUCGAUUCUGCAUAAAAAUAUCGAUUAUUAUGUUAGGAUAAAGAGCUACUGUUGCUACUUAGUUUCAUUCUGACCUUACUAUUAAAGCCUCCACUCUCACUCUCACAGGAGCAGUAAAGUAUCUCGGAACAGUCGCUAGGGAUUGCAGAAGAUUGGUCAUAACCUUUCCCUUAACAGAAUCCGGGGAGAUUAGGUGAAAUAGCCGCCCUGUCGCGCCACUAAUAACUCAUUACUAUAUUCUUAUUGGAAUGUUUUCUUUCUAUCCAUCUUAUAUAAGCUUCUAUAAUAGACUUGACUUUAGUACACCUCGCAUCAAAGCCAAGAAGACUGGUAUGCCUGGUAUGCCCGGUAUGCCUGCUGGAUACCUAACAACUCUACUAAAGACAAAGUAAGCAUCAAGUGAUAAGGUAGCUGCAAGCGGGUCUUCACUGAACAGAUGGUUUUCCCCUUCCCCACUGCUCGAAGUAAAGUAUUUGGUUUUUGUCUUUUUUCUGAACUUGUAAAUUCAAUCUGAUAAUAAUAACAGAUCUCGGAUCUCGGAGAGCAGGGCAAUAAGAGAGGUGGACAGGCAAGGUCCAAUCUUUCACCAAGGAAAAGAGGUGGGUUCGGGUGAUGGCAAUGAGAGAGGCUCAACGCACCUCUGUGCUAACAAAGAUCGAAAUAUUCAAUAUGCGAGUUGGAGUCGGGCGCUAAGCUAAGAGAGUUCAAUUCCAGAAGCUCAGGGAUUAGUAGGUGGAGCAGUUAUUGACUUUCCCCUUUCCCGAGUCGGGUGCUUAGAAACUAUAAGAAAAGGUGUUAGCCCUUUCGUUUCGGUGGAAGUCUUCGUAUUAGAUAUAUAGAAAUAGGGGACAAUUAAGAGAUGGGUAACCAGCUAGAGAUAGAGAUUGGUAAGGGUAUAGUUAUUGUUGCCCGAGGAUGGGUAUGCAAGGGUGAAGAAGAAAGAUAUGGGUAUCAGGUAGAAAGAGAAGAAAGAGAAUUGCCUGUUAUAUAGUUCAAGUAGAAGUGAAAGUAGAUGUUUCAUCCUCUAUAGAAGCUGUUCCAGUGUUGGCGAUCAGAUGCUUGCUUGAUCAGAAGGUGUUUCAAGAUCCUUUCUAACGCUCUAAAUGACUACCUUUUAUUCCCUUCCUUCUCUCUGCUACAAGCCGAGUGAGAGUGAAAGUGGCAAGUAAAGUGGCUUGUGUUUCAGUCUGAAGCGGUACCUCGAGAUAGAGUUCAAGUGGCAAGUAAAGCUCUUAAAGCAAAGGUUUCCUGUUCCGUUUUCGUAUCAGCAUCGGCGUCAAGAGUCACUGUUGUGCGUAAGGGAGCUGCAAGUGCAAUUGCUUAUGUCAGGCGAUGAGAAGGAGUUGGCUUACCAGAAUCAACUGACAUACAUAUGUUUGUAACCAAAGGGAGAGGUAGCGGAACCUGCGAGGGAACUAGCAUCUGUCCCUUGAAAUCUAUAUUUGCUACUCACAAUAAGCUGCUGUUCCAAUGUUUGGCUUAGAAGCGGGAAGGAAAGAAAGGAACUCUCAUUAUUGAGUUUGUAGGAGUUGUUCUGGAGUCCUGUAUUUAUGGCUAAAGUGAGUUAGUAGGCUAUUCAGGUAUCAAACUAUCGAACAGAACCCACCCCUCUUAGACGUCAAGCCAACAAACACAUCAUUAACAGGCGGAUGCGGAUUCUCUGUCUCUUGUCAACAAUGAGGGUGCUACAGGGGCAGGGCAGGGGAAAACUCUACUCAAAAGUUUGAAUUGAACUCCUUAUUGCAAACCGACUAUAUUUCUUGCUGCCAAUAACUAUCUUGGAGACAACACUCGAACAGAAGGAUACAAAACGGUAGUAUACCUCCGCAUCAGAAGGAACUAUCUCUCCACGACCAACAUAAACAACUGGAGAGAGACUUUCUUACUUGCUCAUAACUCACUACCUUUCUACUAUUCUUCUCUACUUAACCGUUACGUGGGCAGUUUCGCAUUAAACAUUCCAUUCUUUCGACAACACUCUCACUAGGCGAACGAACAAAAAGACAAUCCGGCAAUUCAUUUACCAUACCCUCUUCUCUCUCUACUACAAGGAGCUAAAGGAACUCUACGACAAACAAAUACUUCAUUUCUAUCUAUCGAGUAAGCAUGUGAUAUAUAAUCCAAAGGGUAAAUAGACUGAACGAACAAGUCCUUUUUUCGUCAUGGCGGUAGGGCAGCUAAGAACCACUUCUCAAAUAGCUAAUUUCCCUAUGUUGGUACCCGGAAAACUGGAAUGGAAUCUCUCUCGUCAACUACAGGAAUUUCAUAUCUAUAGAACCAGUAUUUGAACCAACCUUCUUCUUUACCUUUUGAACCAACCUUCUUCUUUACCUUCUGAAGAUCUCGUUGAUGUCGACUUUUCUUUCUUCGGAUCCUUCUCUUGAAACUGUUUCUGAUCGCAGCUUCUUCACUUGCGGAUUCCCUUGCUUUAGAAUAUCAAUUAUGUGCAUUCACUACAAUAGACAGACCAGUGGGGAGAGUGAUACUUAUUUCAACCAGACGAGAUACUAUACUUUAGACGAUACCGAUAUCGCAUUAACCACAAGGCAGAGUUGGGACAGUGAACAAGCUACGUUUUGCUUUCCUUUGAGGUUGGUUUCUCUUCUCUUCCAUCUGCCACGGAACCGUCGUGUUCAGGAGCUAGGCGGGAAAGAAAAGCACUUUCAUUUUCAAACAAAUGCAGGAAAUGCUUAGCCAGCCGUUGCAGAAGCACUUGUUGGUGCAGAAGCACUUGUUAGUGAGUGAUCGCUUGUUAGUUAGUUUUCUUAAUGAGAAGUAUCGCUUGUUUUGGGUGAGUCUUUCUAAUAUGCUGUGGUUAGUUACUUCAUUCAUAUGCAACCUAAGCUAACGCUUACUUCUCUUCUGGGCACUGGGCAAUAAUAAAGUCAAGGUGCUUGGUGGCUUUCCCUUUGCGUGGAGCAGGGUUUUUCGAGUUCUUUACGUUGCUGGGCUUUCCUUUCCCUUGUAGUGAUCCAAGCAUUUCAGUUCAGAGGAAGCUGUCAACCUUACAAGUCAUAAUGUUACGCGUUAUAAUAGUUUCUACCCUUAACUAAAGCAAGCUGUCAACCCAACAAUAAACUCUCUCGUACGACGUCAAACCAAGAAUCUAUAUCGUAAACCACUUUAGCACCCAAAGGAACAACACUUGAAGAUUCAUAAUGGAAUUGAAACUCUCCAACAGUCCAACGAAUGCAUUUGUAGCCUAGAGCAAGUCCUUUCUGCGUUGGCUAUGUUAGCACAUAUACUGUUUUCGCCUGGAGCAAGUUCUUAUUUCGUUGAUUGAAACCUUGCUUUUUCACUAGCUUCUUGACUUUGCUUUAUAUACGGAAUUCGUGUUGAGCCGGUAAGUUUCUAAUUACGUAUAGAAAAAGAGAAUAUUCUGUGAGACUACGACUUUAUACUACUUGUUUGGUCUGCAAGAGAAGUUAUUGUGUCCGUAACUCUCAAAAGGUAGGCUUUUCAGAGAGAGUGAAGUUUGGGGGAGACGAAGCUGUGCUAAGGGAAGCUACAAUUCCAGUUUCGUUUGUGGAAAAAGAUAGUAUUGGCUCUUAAGCUAGCAAGGUGUCGUGGACGUAGAGAGUCUCUUUGUGCUUCUGAUGCGCUAAGUCCUGAUUACCCUUACGCUCUUUCAGCUUUACUUGGAAAUAAGUCUUCUUGCCCAACACAUACCUUAACCUUGAUUAUUGCCUUCUUAUGCUUAAGUAUAGGGUUCUAAGUCUACCGAGAGAAGUUAUUGACCUGACCGCGAGAGAGGAAAUGAAUGAUUCAGACAGGACAGACCCAGACUUCAGCACUAUAAUAAAUGGUAAGUGGAAGGAUUCUUUGUAUACCUUACUGAGUUUGACAGAAAGAAGGGAAUAGAGUAUCUCGCUCGUAUCGAGAAGCCGAGCCUAGAGAAGAAUCUUUUGAAGUGAAAAAGUAAGCUGCUGUCAGAGUUCAAUUAACAGUUUUCCUUGGUGAAAGUGAAAUGACUGUUUUCGUCUUGUUCUGUUCGCAAGUAAGUUGAAAGUCAUUCUGCUCUUUCUUGUUAAGGUCUUACCAGAGAGAGAAUCCGCAUGAGAGUUGAGUGUUGCGGUAAGGACGGGACAAUCUGUUUACCAUGAUAUUGCCUUAUUCCCCGGGACCUGAAUUAUGUCCUUCUUCAGUGCUAACGAGCAACAGAUGAAGCAGUUAGAGGAAAGUAGAGAAGUUAUGUUGCUGCAAGUGAACCAUCAAGUGAAGAAGCUGUGUUAGCUCCCGAAUAAGCUGUUCCAAAGUAAGCUGCAAACGGGUAGUCUUAAGUUGAAGUCUGAACUUCCCGGUGGUGUUCUUGUUUUGUCAACGAGAUCAGGAUCUUAAUAAAGAGAAGAUAAAGGAUCCGGCGUGAAAGUAGGGGGAAAGGAAGCUGCAUCGCCUGUUGCAAGGUUGAGCCUCAAGUCAGCGGGAAAGAUAGAUGGAUCAGACUCAGGCGCUGGGUUAAGGACAUAAUGUAAAGGCUUUGAAGCGUUAGCGGUUCCAACUUCAAGUUUCGUUCAAGGAUAGUUUGGGAGAGUGUAAGUUGAAGCGGAAGCAAGAUCGGAUCGGAAUCUUAUUCAAAAGACAGAGAACCUGGGUAUUUACUUGACUCUAUACUACAUGUGCUCGAUAGAUGAAAUUCCAUUCAUUCAUAUUGCCCCAUACUAAAGGCAAAGUUGUUGACAGAAGAUCCCCUGCUUGAAAAUGCAUUUGAGCCUAAGAAAUAGUCCUAUAGCUCUUAAACAUCAACUGAAACAAUAACUUCCAACUCCACUUGAAGAAACGAACUCCACUUUACUUCCAGCACUUGCUGCUAAUGACAAAACCUCUUCUGAUCUAAUUACUAUUUAUAUUGCACAGAGACCCUUAUUUAGCUUAUUGCCUCUUUAUACUUUACUGUGGAGCUGACUUCCUUUCUCUACGAAAACUAAGGUCAAACCAAUCACUGACACCGACCUUUCACAGUUCUGAACCAACAACGCAUGAACCUCUAGCGUAAACAAAGAGCUACGCUACCCUUAGACACAAGUAGAAGAUCGAACCUCUCUCCCACCAAAAGAACAAGACUCCAAGUUUCGCUAACCAACUUAUAAGAAUCGCUAUGACCAGACUUUAGCCUUAUUCUCGGCUGGCUUCAAUUCCAUUCAUCUUUAUUGAGGAUAAGACUUAUUGCCAACAGGAUAAGACGGAUUGCCUACUUCCCUUCCCGACCCGAACUCUACUACAAGGAAGAAGAAAGCCCUUCACUUUCUUGCAGGACAUAGGCAUAGGCACCGUGAUCCAUACUAUACAAUAUACUUUAAUACAAUAAAUAUACUUGACUUCCAUACUAUACAAUAUACUUUACUUCAAUCAGAAAAGAAAGAAUGGAAUGACACUUAUGGAGGAAUAGAAACCUUACUCUAAACUCAUAGCUUUGCUUCCUUAAUAACCUUUGACUCUAAACUCGUAGCUUUGCUCUUCCUUAUAACCUUAUUGUUCCGUUGCUUGUUAGCUUAUUCUUGUUAGCUUAUUCUUUUCUGCUGUAGUUAGUUGGGCUGAGUCACCCUUGAAUAGAUUUGAGUUCGGAAUCCGAAGAACCUCUCUCUCUAUCCACGAGACUGAAUUGCUUCUUCUAAAGAUUAUGACUUUAUUCUUCUAAAGCAUACUAUAGCAGAAAUAAUAGAAAAGAAAAUAUGACCGAGCCCUCUAAAGUUCAAGUAAAGGGGUGCUUGGCCAUUUGAGAACUCUCUUGUGCUAGACCCUUUUUCCCUUGAUAGUCUUUUGAUACUGGGAAACUUGUAAAAAGACCGAACUUCUACUUUAUAGAUAUAGAUCCGAGCCUCUAAUUGACUCUUUUUUUUGCUUAUGCUUAAGCCCGGAAUGGAUUGACAUACCUGCUUUUGCAAACGAGCUUGCCUAUCGCUACAAGAGAGCUCGGUUCACUUGCUUACUCUCUGAGUGCAUUGCUUGAAAGAGCUCUUUGCGACCUCUUCUCUUGCCCUUCCUUCUCUUGUGCCGGGCGUGUGAUCGAUUGGACCUUCCCCUUUUCGCCUGUAAUAGGAUCAAAGCAAAUGAAAGCGGUGGAUUUGAUGCUCUCCGGAAACAGCCGAAAUUGCCGCGGAUGCAGAGUUAGCACUACCUUGCUUCCGUCCCUCACCCCUUCUUUUCCUAUGUCGACGUUGCACAAUGACUUUACGUUAAGGGGUCAGUCAAGGUAUACACAAUGACUUUACGCUCAGGGGUCAGUCAAGGUAUAAUUCGUCAUAGUUUCCUUCGUUAGUCAGUAAUGUGGGUUGGUUUGCCUUCUAAUCCAGCUUGAGAUCGGCCAGUGUUUACUCGGAGUUCUAGUUAUAUUCGUGACUUCUUCGCAUCUAUCAAUCAAAUGACAUGCUCGACAUCCAUUCUAUCACAACCCGCGCCCAUAUUUGGCUAAACAAAGCACUUUAUUAUUAGUAGCUGGUUCAACAAGAGCAAUUGGAUCUUAUUGGCUUGCUUAUUCAAGUAGUUUUAGUAAAGCCAGUGUUUUUGUCCUAAACGCCUCUUCCCUUUCAUCCAUUACCGCGCAAUAGGCUGCUCUUUUUCCCAUCUCUUCUCCUCUUGCCUGCUAGACCCAAUGGAAUGGAAAAUAAGGCAAGCGCUAGCUACCUCCUUGCACGGGAUUUGUUUCCAAGAAGAAGUUGAUUCCAUCCUGCUAGUUAGAAUCCCUCACUUCACUCCCUAAAGGCGGAUUAAGACUAAGGCUAUUCUCGGGAGGCAAGGAAAGAGAUAUUCAAUCAACCAAGCAAAGAACCGAUACCACUACCACAGUAUUAACCAAGACAGCGGGAAGGAAUAGAGUCGAGCCCAAUAGAUAGGAAGAAAAAAGAAAAGCCCGGGCAAGAAGAGGGGACAACCUCGCUCUUGAAGUGAGUCCUCUUCUCUUAGUGGGAGUCAGAGUUAAAGCUACCUGAGCUAACUGCUUUUCACUCGAAUUAACUUCACUGCUCUUAGAGCGAGAAAAGGGAGUCGACAUCAAAACGGAACUUCCAAUCUACAUAUAGGGGGGCAGCUUCCUAUCCUAAAACUAGACCCCGUGUGACUCUCCAGCUUGUGUUCGCUAACUUAAAUGAUCUGUCAUCCAAGCAAACAGCACUUCUUUCCUAAUAAGAUUCGAGGGUGUUAGCGAUAAAGAGCACUAGGUUUACGAGAUAUAUAGGUCAAUUCCAUUAUUGAGUGUAUAAGGGUUCGUUAAAUAAAUAUACUUAUGUGCUAUAUGCCUUCCCAGUAUAGGAAAGAAGUUGAUAAUAAGGAAUUCACUGCAUUAGUGAAAGAAUAGCCAAGUGCCAGAGACCACAGAGCUCAACUCCAAGGUAAGAAGUCACAACUAUACUACAGUAUAAAGUGAAUAAAGAGAGGCAUAGGAUCAAAGCUACAACACCAUAAGAAUUGGAACAGAGUAGUCCAAGCCUGAACGCGGAGUACUUUAACACAUAAGUUAGCCUGCCGCUCCUGACCUCCAAUCUUAUCCCUGCCCGGACACUCCCGCUUCUGAGUUUUGCUCUGCAAUUAAUAACUAUAAUAACCGAGCUGCACAGAUAAAAAGAAUGAUAUCUCGGCCAAGCCUUGUGCCUGUUAACUUCCAAGCCUUCCCUUCCUUUCUAUUAGACUUACUUCCUGCCGAUUAGUCUACUUAUACUUACUUUUAGUCUUCCUUCCAUUGCUUUAACUCCUCCGAAUUGAACUAUUCACCGAAGAAGGACAGAAACAAGGAAGAAAACGACUACCCCAAAAUGCAUUAUUUAUAAGAUAAGGAGCUGGUAACUAAUAGUAGUGAAAUAAGAUAGGAGCGGGUAACUAAUGCUUGAGUGGAAUUCUUACGGUUACUACUGAUGUGACUAAAACAAUAGGCAGAGUUGGAGGUAUGCAAGAACUCAUUCACUUAGCACUGAGGCGAGGUAGGCCAGGUGGGAAACUGCAUCAGUCUUGUUCCACGCUGUGAAGAAGGUAGCCUACUUUGACUAUAAACUUAGAGAUUGAAAUUGGUAAGUUGAUGUAUAGAAUAGAAGAACUUAGAUUUAGCUGUUACUACGGGAGAUUGGAAUUAGAAUAAGUGUAAAUAAAAUAGACUACUAGACCUUAGCUACGAGGCCCUUAUAGUAAUUGCCAAGCAUCUCUGUCUGUUUAGGGUGUGAGUUGGCGACGAAAGAGGUAAUUGUUUCGAUUCUUAAAGGAGAGUUUCUUUGUUACAUCGACUAAGAUGUUUGGUUCAAAUGCAUUCUAAGGCAAGUUGAUGAGUUGAAAUGAACUGUAGCUGGUGGUAUUGUUGCUGGGUGCUCAAGAGGUUAUUGUCCCGCUUCUGCUGGUGGUAUUGUUGCAGGGUAGGGUGAAAUGAUGAGUUGCGAGUUGUGAGUUGAAGCCUGAGCGGACAGUAGUAAAGCCUGAGAUGCACUGGUUGAAGUCUUGGAUUGCUGAGCUUGAUUCUUGUUGGGGCGAGGCACUGUUUGAUUCUUAGACUUAGGGGUUCAAUUCUGAUCUCUGGAGAAGAGGUCUAAGGCUUAGUACCCUUGCUUUCAGUCUUAGUAUACCUUUUAGCAGUCCCAUACUAGCUACCCUUGCUUUCAAGCUUAGAUGCAGUGGUUCAAUUCCCAGACUACCCGGUUUUAGUCUUUGAUGAGCUUCUNNNNNNNNNNNNNNNNNNNNNNNNNNNNNNNNNNNNNNNNNNNNNNNNNNNNNNNNNNNNNNNNNNNNNNNNNNNNNNNNNNNNNNNNNNNNNNNNNNNNNNNNNNNNNNNNNNNNNNNNNNNNNNNNNNNNNNNNNNNNNNNNNNNNNNNNNNNNNNNNNNNNNNNNNNNNNNNNNNNNNNNNNNNNNNNNNNNNNNNNNNNNNNNNNNNNNNNNNNNNNNNNNNNNNNNNNNNNNNNNNNNNNNNNNNNNNNNNNNNNNNNNNNNNNNNNNNNNNNNNNNNNNNNNNNNNNNNNNNNNNNNNNNNNNNNNNNNNNNNNNNNNNNNNNNNNNNNNNNNNNNNNNNNNNNNNNNNNNNNNNNNNNNNNNNNNNNNNNNNNNNNNNNNNNNNNNNNNNNNNNNNNNNNNNNNNNNNNNNNNNNNNNNNNNNNNNNNNNNNNNNNNNNNNNNNNNNNNNNNNNNNNNNNNNNNNNNNNNNNNNNNNNNNNNNNNNNNNNNNNNNNNNNNNNNNNNNNNNNNNNNNNNNNNNCAGAAAUGAGAAAAACAAUCAAUUAGAAAUCACAAAUAAUCCAGAGCCAGGUAAUAUAGAAUCCAAUCUGGCAACACUCCCUAGUCAUUAACUCCUCUUGCUACUGCUACUAAUACAACAACUACCGGUAUUCCACUGGCAGCUACUUAUAGAUCUCAGAGAAUUAAUACCUUUCCUACCCGACCCUAUAAUGAAAAACGAAGCCCUGCCCUGGACUCGUCACUUUCAUAAUUUCAUUCAAUCUCAGAUGACUCAUUUAUUAUAUACAAAAUCCACGAACUUAUUUCUACGCUUCCCUUGAUACUUUACCUAUGGAGUUGAGAUCAUCUUCCUUAAAGGAUUCCACUGGAGCAGCUCUCUCCCGAACUCUGCUUUUACGCCUGAUUGAGAGCGCAGAAGAUAAGAUUGCUUUGUGGAUUAAGAUUGCUUGUUCUCUCUAAAGCACCUACCCGCUCAAAUAAGUGUUAGUGCAACAGCCUGUUCAAACCAAUAAGUGUGGUUUGCGCCCCAAGAACUAAGCGUAAGCACAAUUGCUUGUUGACUUCUGGAAUGGAAUUAGUUGACUACCGGCCCAUUAAUUAAGAGCACAGGUACCGGACAGGGUCGAUUAUUUACCCAUAUCCUUCAUGCCCAUGCCUAGACCUACAUCCUUCAUGCCUAGCUCCCUCUGCUUUACCUGCUUAAGAUUCUAAGGAAACUUCUUCUUAGCGUCAAAGAUGAAUUGAGUCUCCAUCUUUUGCAUAUAAUUAUGGAAUGGAAACGGACUCUUUUCUUUCUGUUAAGUAUGUUUUGUAAGGAAAGGAAGCAAGCCACUAGAGCAUUUUAGGGAGUUUGUCAGGAAAGGAAGAGCAAAGGGAAGACUAAACCAAACCAAAAUAAGGGGCUUGGAAGCUAUCAGUGAAUUCUUACAGUCAUUCUCACAGGCACCGGUUUCGUUCUCAUACCCCUAAGCAAACUCUUAUUCUUAUGUACUUGUUUUAUCCUUACUCGUUGUAGCUUCGUUCCUGUUCUUAUUAGUAUAGUUUGAUAACCCAGGGGAGUCACUCACUCCUAUACAACGACGUUCAAUUCUUUGUAUUUUGGUUAAUUCCGAUACUACUGUAGCGAGCUCUUACUUCUUUGUUUAGGGCAACUUCUUUUGGUACUCUACUUGUGGGCAGUGUUUCAAUCCGGACUUAGUGCGCUACACGAUACAUUCUGACUUUCAUUAUAAAUGGAUUAGGCAGGAACAGCAAAGUUAGAGACAUGAUAGCAAGAAUUUAAGGAACAACUACAAGAACUAGAUACGGGGGGGGCGAAGGCAAACUCUUUUUUGCAGGCUUUACUUUUAGGUGGUAUUUACAGACGGAUAUAGUUGGUAGCGUAAGGCUAAGAGAGAGCAGUGUCCGUUUUGGAGCUAGUGAAUAAAGGCAUUGAGGCAAGGUAGGCUCAUAGGUUUUAGUCGCAUUAUUAUAGGUAAUAGUUUGAUCCCUUAUUCUAAGAUAAAGUAUUGAAAUAGGUAGUUCAAUCCUUAUUCGCAGAGGAAUCGGACUUAAACAAAGGUGCUGAAAGCCUCGAGGCCCGUAACUACAGAAUAAGAGUCAGGUCGGUAAGCGCGUAGGGGGAUUCUGAUAUUGCUAGUAAAGUAUGAGAAGCACCAGUUGGUUUCUCAGUUAUUGAUUCAAGCAUUAGAAGCACUAGUCGCAUUCUUUUUAUAGUAGUGGAUUUCCUGGUUUCUUUCCCGGUUCGGCUAUUGCCAGUAGCUGUGUCAUUCCAAGUUUCCAGCUAUAUCCCUAUAGUUGCAGUUGCCUCAUCAGUAGUGUUUCUAUCCAUGUAGGGGCGUUUCGAUUCCCUGUUCCGAGUUAAGAUCUUAGAAGCGGUAACUCAAUUCUGGAUUCUAUUAAGUGAAAGCAUUAGAAGCGCUAGCUACAGUUUGAAAGUAAGCAUAGUCAGAAUCCACAGUUAGUAGAACAAAGAUAUGAAUCGGGAGUUAGAGAAUCCAAAGUCAAAUACAAAACUCAACCCAGCAGUAAGGGGAUGAAAACUAAGAUAGUGAGGGCGAUAGUAAGUAGAACAAGUCUGUUAGCCAUAGGUUGAUUCUCUCUUAUGAGAUUAUGGACGAGAACCUGGAGAGUAAGCCCGAGAAGCUGCAGUUCUAUUCUUAGAUGUAGUAAAGCAAGCAUUACUAGAUUAAGCGCGGCUGGUUAGUUGGAAUAGGAGUUUAGUGAAGGACAUCUUAGGUGCCAGUAUCGGCAGUGCAGAUGUUGAUUCCACGCUCACUUACUUUGUAUCCAGGUAGGGUGGUGGACUGACUUGGUGGUCCAACUGUUGUUGCAAGAGAAGUCGAAAGUCCAUUAUUGGCCCUGACCUAUAGGCCCUAUAGUUCAAGAGAAGAAGUAGCCCUUAUAGUCAGUUUCGGUUGAAGGUGCGAGUGUUGGUUCGUGGCUUUCCCUUUGCGUGGAGUACACGGUUGAAAGUUGGCUUGUUCCUGCGCUGGCUUAGUCUUAAGGAACGGUAUAAGAAGAUGAAUAAGCUGUUUGUAGUUCCUUGACUUCUAUCCCAUGUGUUCAAUAAGAUAAUAAAUGCUGUAUUUACUCCUCAAUGAGUAUCUGUCUGUUCUUGUUUCAAAUCCCUUGUUUUAUCGUAUCUAGUUGUUUGCUCCUUUAAGAAUGGAGUUGACUACUAGAAGCCGGGAAAAAAGCCGAAGAUAGCAAAUGAACUCUAAACUCGUUCCCCCAGUAGCUGCCUUCCGAUGGUAUCUUUUAAGGGCUCGUGUCUGGUCGGCUGUAUACUAGCUUCUCUGAGCAUGCGUGAAUCCCUGUCGGAAAGUAGAUUCCUCCGCAUGAAGGGAAAUCAAUUGCGUCUCGACUACCACCCUACCCGGGACUGUAAACUAUCCCAACAACCCAUAAUGACAUGACUGGAAUCUAAAGAAGUCGCUUGAACCCCUCGGUGCCGUAUUAUGAUGGAGAGCAUAAACCGUUGGGUCGCUGGAAGAGCAUUUGGAUUUGUCUAUGAAACUACAGCCUGGGUGGAAUGAUCCCCGCUUUCCUCGUUCAUAUGUGACCUCACCUCAUCUCCGUCGGUUGAAGACGAGGCAUCUUCUGACCCCACCCACUUAGCUCCCGGGGGGCAAACUGGAGGUUUGUGUUGGUAGUCUUCUAUCCCCUCUGGAAUGCUAAGUCUUGCUUCUAUCUUCGUCCAUUCUCCAGCGUAGUCUUUUGAACACCUCCUAAAGCUGCUUCUUGAAUACCGCUUUCUCUUUAUCCCAUUCCCACUUUCUCUGGUUGACAAAACCACUUUGCGCAGAUCACUCCUACACGAGUAUUAUACUAGCCUUAUAAAUAGCCUUACCAGCAACGGGGCUUGCUAAAGGGCUGUGAACGUUAACCAUUUGAAGUCGUAAGGCAGGCUACUUACUAAGGCAUUUCAUCAGGUCUGGAAGAAGUGGAAAGAGAAAAGGCAUUCGAGCAAAAGCGACUUAUUCUUGAAAAAUGUUUCUAUGGGGGUUAUAAGGAACUUGAAAAAGGCAUGGAAAGAAGUCUGCCCCUCCUUUUUCUAGUGAAUGUCGGAAAUCUUAUUAGAGAUUGAGAUUCUUUCUUGUCUGAGACUGUAGCCAGCUUAUAAGGAGAGUGAUGCACUAUUCGCUAAUUAGGAAAGAGGGUUGACUCUUGCUUGUCGAUCUCUAUUCCUCCUAUUGUAUAUUAAGGUCGAUCUCUAUUCCUCCUAUUGUAUAUUAAGUAUGUAACUUGCUUUCACUAGUAGCUGCUAUUCUCCUCACUGCAGAUAAGGCCAAAACUGCCUAAUACUAUGUCCUGUCCCCUGCUCUUAGAUUCACAAUGGAAUUGAAGAUAGCGCUAUCACAUCACAUAUAGAAAUUGUAGUAAAAACACAGAGCUCUAUAGUGUGGUUACAAAUUCUAUAUAUAAGAAUAUAUGUAUACUUAUUCCGGAACCUUCUAAGAAUAUAUGUAUACUUAUUCCGGAACCUUAUAUUGAUUAAGGCUUGGAAUCUCCCAAUCACCGGAUCGGAUCAGCAGUGAAAUGUAUUAUUAUAUAUCUGAUAGCUUAUUAAGUGGGUGGGCACUCCCAUAAAGUCUGUCUACAAAGCCCUUGACUUUCGCCUAAGGCAUCAGAUCCUAAGGUUUGAUAUGAAAUGGCUCUAUAUCCAGCCACUUCUUCGUCAUCAGCAAAGAGAAGUUACUAGCGGGUCGUCGAUAAGGAACUUUCCCCUUAUUUGGUUGGGGGCAAAGAAGAGCUUAAGACACCCUUUGUUUGCUUGGCGGUAAACUGAACUUUGCUAAUCGGGGCUUAUGAAAGACAUAGAAAACACAUUCAGACUGCACUUGAAAAGAGGAGUGGAAUAUAGAAAGAGCACACGCAACGCAACGGAGCCCUUCUUUAAACACCAACACCAGUAGGCUCAAGCGCUAUAGAGAAAUAUCUGAAUUCAUUAUAUGAUGGCAAAGAAUGUAGGUUUGGGGGUAAGUUAAGUCUAUGGAAACCGUAUCGAAAGCGAGAUCAGACUGACCUUUAUUGCUGGAAUGAUUCAAUAGUAGCAAAAUGCAUGUAGCCCGGGCCAAAAAGCUUGUUUCCUCUAGAGAGUUUCUCUUCGGCCUUGCCCUCCGCUUCUUCGAACCCGCAAUAUAGCAGCAAGCAAUCCCGCUUCAAAAAGAGAAUAGGGAAUCCCGCUUCAAAAAGAGAAUAGGGAUAGGGUAAGUGAUACCGAAAAAGACAUCAUCAUAGGUUGGGGUAAAGAAAUGAGAUUAUUGCAAUGCCAAGGCAAGAGUGAAUAUGACUUAUUGCAAUGCCAAGGCAAGAGUAGAUAUUAACUUAUUGUCGGGGCCAUCACCUCUGUUACAAGGCAAGAGUAGAUAUUAACUUAUUGUCGGGGCUAUCACCUCUGUGAGAAUAUAUGGAGAUCAUUUAAGUGAUCAAAGCGAAAAAGGAAUUUGGACUUGCAUUGCAGGCUUCUACGAUGGGCGGGAAUCAUAAGAAAGAAAGCCCUAUGAUGUGAAAGCUCCCCGCCCUUACGCCUCACCCUUCUACUCUUGGUUGACGAUCCGGUCCAAGAUUUCCUCAGUUCGGAUUUCUCUACGAAAACUAUCUAGGGAAGAUGAAAACCCAGUUGCUCAAGCACCGCAAAGGUAAUCCUCAUUAUGUUUGUUUGAACGUUCUUCUCCUGUUAUUUAUUAUGAUUAUAGAUAGCAUAUAAAGAAUAUGAUUAUAGAUAGCAUAUAAAGAAAGCAUUUAGUAUAUCUCUUAAUAACUCUCAAACUAUAGCAUAUAAAGAAAGCAUUGAGUAUAUCUAUCUCUUAAUAACUCUCAAACUCAUUCGUGUACAAAGCAGUGCAGACGAAGUCCAAAUCCAUUGCUUGGAAUUACAUCAUCUUUUCGUCUAAGGUCGGAUCGGAUGUAGGCGAAUCCAACCAAGCUAAGUUACAGCCACAUAUAAGAAACCUUGCAUCUAAUCUGAAUCAAUCGUUUGCCUUUGAAUGAGCUCAGUAAAAAGAUAGAGAAUAAGCUCAUUUAACUUCACUAAUGUUUACUGUGACCCCACUUCUCUAGCUGUUGUAAAAACACUAUGUUGGGAAUACUGGCCUCUGGUAAGAUAACAACUAUGAUGCUAUACCCUUUCGAAAACAACUAUGAUGCUAUACCCUUUCAAAAACAGAGUCUCUCCCAUAACUAUCCAAAAGUGGUUCUCUUUCCGAUUACUAUUCUGGGAAAAUCCAAAUAGACCUUGAGUAUUGCGCUUUCAAAAGAGAAAGGUACGGGACCCUCAUGGCACUGAUCGGCCUUGAACGGAAGCUACUUUGUUGGAGAGGGUGUGGAUGCUAAUUCCAAUGUUGGCUAAUGAAAAGGUCUUUCGUCAGUCAGCUAUCUUACCUUCAAUCUGACCUUAAAGUAAACCACCAGUUGUAAGCCGGGUUAGUGAAGCUCUUGACUGUCUUAUCCCUGGUUAGUUAAGCUCGGUUAGUUAAGCUCUUGACUGUCUUAUCCCUGUUCUCACUCAAUCCGGGUUAGUUAAGCUCUCUCUUGCCAGAAGGUGGAAGCAAGGGCGAUUACCCUACCCUUGGGAAGUAACGAUAAUGGUUUCUCCACGGAAUAUGGUGGGAUAUUUGAUUCUAUGUUUGAGUUUUGGGAUGGACUUGGAAUCCACUACUGGCUCAUAGGAUGCUUACUCGGAUUCUGUAACUGGCAAUUCGCAUUCUUCUUAUUAUCUCUAAUACUUGCACUUUGCCCUGGCUUUAGACCCUGACUUUCUUCUUUAGAGUGUAGUGGCUUGGGCAGUUUACGUAGGCAGUUGAGAUGAGCAUUCAAACAUCAAUUCCUUAACAGCUUCCUUUCGAACAGCUUCGCUUCCUCUGUGUCUUCUUCUCCCGCUUCAGAUCCGGAUUUCACCCUCUGAAUGAGAUUUGAGAUUCGAUGAGGCUUCUUAAUAAGAUGAAACAAGCAAUAGGCGAACUUAACUCCACUUUGGGACAGAUACGCUUGCGCCAACACACACCUCUGAUUCUUUAAUGACUAAUUGUUCUAUACAAUCAAGACCCCCGGAUUUCUCUUAUUCUUAUUCAUGGAGCUUCUUUUCUAAGGUUACCUUGAGACUUUCUUUACCGACGGAGAUGAGCAUUCAAAACGAAACUAUUUCCAUAGGAUCAAAGUCGAACAGGCAAUUCUCGGCAUAACACCCAUGUGAGACAGAGCUAAUGUAACUGAAUGAAUACUUUGCCUCUGGCCUGCUAGUCUAGGGAACAUGUGGAGGCAGCCCCCUCUACUGUUUAGUGAGUUUUCUUUUGGGUGUUUUGUUACAGUUGUCCAUUAUAUGUUAGCUCCAUUCCAUUUCUGAAGCGCGUUAGUCAGUUGUUAGGAUAGGGCCUACCAAAUCUUCUUUUGACUUUCCGGGGUAGGUGCCCAUCCGCUUUUCCACUCCAUGCUUUUUGGCCUUCAUUCUAUUCUUUCGAGUGAAGUUAGCCGUUGCACAAGAACAAGCAGUAACUGGUUGGUGGGUUUGGGGAGUUGGGGAUAGCGGUGGCCUAGCUGAUAGAUUCAAGUAAAGAGUCAGGAGUUACUAGUGCGAGGUUACUACUCCUUGGGUCUGAGUCCGGAGUGACUAGUGCUUAGAGGUUAGCACGGAGUGGGUCUAUAAUGUGUCAGUGAGAUUCAUUUCUUUGAAAAGCAAGUUACCAAGUUCCAGCAACAGGCCAAGCGUAUACCUUAUUUCAUGCAAGUUUAGUAUCAAAUAGGGAAUUAGGGAAUCCGAGGUUAGAAGCAGUUCCCAAAGGAAGGGGAAGCAGUCUCUUUACUCAGUGCUAUACCUAGUGAAAAAUCAGAUACUAUUUCUAUCCCUAGUGCUCAAUAAGUGGAAAAAGGUAGAGUUGCCUGUUUAGGUUCCAGUUUCUCAAGAGAAGCAAGCGGUAUCUAAGUCUGGUGGGUGUCCAAGCCUAACUGCCGCUUAGCUCGCUGCCGCCAUGAAUAAAGAGUGAUAACUCGUUAUGACCAAGUCCUGUCCUGUACGGGCUCUGCUCUAUCAGCUGACUCUAAAUCAUAUGUACUACUUCCUGCUUACUUUAAUGCUCUAUCCGCUCUGACUCAAAAAGCAACAGAAUAAGAAGCAACCGGUGCCUCACGCUACUAACUUCUUGUUUCGGGGUUAGGUGGAGCUAGAUCUGGAUCAGAGGCUUGAUCUGUGCCAACUCAAUCGGAUAGUGGAACAAAAACGAUUCUAUCUGUCUGUACCAACUCCAUAAGAGAAAUUCCAUACUGAAGUUUGAGGGUGGUAGGACUUUCCCUUUGCUUUGCAUGCUUGGCGGAACCUUGUAGUGGUCGACCCCUGCUCUAGCUGGUAACUCCACUGAUUCUAGUCGGUGCUGUAGCUACUUGUCGGCGAGUGACAGUUCCUGUUCGAGUUUCAUCAUAUAUAGAUAGAAUAAGAUAAUAUGCUGUGCGGUACCCAUAUAGGUAUAAUAAGAUAAUAUGCUGUGCGGUACCCAGGCGUUGAACCGCUCCUGCCGCGCAAGCGAACAGAGAAUAGUUUUGGUUCAUCUUAAGUCGCUAAUGGAAUGGGAACCGCUCCUUACGCGCAUUCGUGCUGUUGUUCCAAAGGUGGUAUUUUUUUUCACUAAGUCAGGAAAGAAUAAGGUCCGGAAUGAAUGAAGAAGGGAGUUGGUUACAUCAUUCUUUGUCAAUGCUACUCCUUUGUGCGGGGUAGAAGGACUAAUGGAAUUAUCCUAAGGAGAUAGAUUCUUUCUAAGCCUAUCUAUAAGAGGAUGAUAGAAGGCAUAAUUCCGGGGUUUCUAAGAAGGAAGUGGGCUCCAUCCCCCUAUUAUUACCUGAUAGCUCCAUCCUCUUCUUAUGUUUAUUACUUUAACACAAACAAGGGAUUACUGAAACUAUAGCACCGAACCUAGUAGCACCCAAAGCAAAGAGACGAGACUUGAAGUUCAAAACAAACCGCUUGCACCUGCUCUUAACCGGCCAGUACUGGAUUAUUACCUUCGCCCUGCCAGGCAAUUCUUCACUACUCUAAGAUUUCCCGAAACUACUUGUUCUUUCGCCCUGUCCUUGCUUUUCAUUCGCAACUGUAGUUGCUCAUCCCGUUGCUUGGCCCCUUUGCUUCAACUCCCCUUGAGUACCUAAUUGUGGAUUCUCUUGGCAAACUAUACUUUCCUUCCUCUUAUACUUAUUAUUCUGUUACCAAUGACCCAGUACAGGAUUCUUUUAUUCCCGCUUGGCACAAGCUACUACUCAUUCUGUUUUCGGGAGCUCCAGUAGGGAGUUAGUAUGAGUCAUUAAAGUCACAGUUUUAGGGGUCAGCUACUUAUCCCUUCCUUUGGUGACUUUGAUUCUCUAAAUGCUAAGUUAACCUACAUUCCAUUCCACAAGUCCAGUUUUUGGCUACCCCAUAUCUAUUCUCUUAGCGUCUAGACUGCUGACUUUAGACCGAGAUACUUGACUGCUCCUGCUUAUGCUUGAAAGCCUAUAUCCCUUUUUUCCUUUAGCGUGUAAGACCCAUGUUCCUAGUAGCCCCCUAAAACAUAAUGGUCGGUAAGUGAACUCUAUUCUUAAAAGAGAACUAGGUUUGUUAGGUACCCAUAUCUAUGAAAAUAAGGUUGGUCAGGUACCAAUAUCUCUAUGAAAAGAAUAUAUAAGUGUAUAAUAUGCCCUGCUUCUAUAUGAUCUCGUUUAACAAUUCGAUUCUUCUCCUUUAUUCAUCAUGGUUUUGAUGCCCCCUAAGUGGUCCAACCCCAAGCAUGAAAGGUUUACUCGGCAUCAGGAAAGAUAGUUUCAAGUAAGAUAGGUGAAGAAAGUGAUAUUUCAGUAGAAUUUGACUGAGACACAUAUAGACCCAAAGAGCGGUAACCAAAGAGAUAGGUUGGAUUCGAGAUGAUCUUCUUUCUUCUUUAUACGAUGACUUUUCGCACGGCAUCUGAAACUAUAACUGGAACUCUACUUUAUACAGCUAAUUCACCUUAUUCCUCUUCUCCUGAUCCUUCUGAUUUACAAUAUUCUAGUGGAUACUCAACGGAAGAAGAAACUAGCACAGCGUAGCCAAUCACUUCUAUUGGAGACUUUGCGCGCGCACACCUAAUAGCUACUGUUUCCUGCUCUGUGGUGUGGGCAUGAGAUUAGCAUUCGGCUUCUGUAAACUCGGAUGAAACUCAAACCGUAUCAGCUUCAUCAGAAGUGCUAGAUGAUGACCUUCCUUAACCUAGCUUUCCAGUCAAUACUAACCGAUACCCCUCUGCCUGGCUGUGGAAUGAAGUUCAAUCAAAAGAGAAACACAGGAGCCUAAGUAGGCCUAAUUCUGGUAUCAAAUCAAUUGAAUUAGAUGAACUCUAGUUCUUAAAGAAGCAAGUCAAGUUAUCGGUGAAGAAAUAUAAGUGAUAGUGGAAUCUGUAUUAGUUGACUACCCGGUAUUGUAUUAUUAGUAUGAGUAAAGAGGAAAGAAGUUUCAGAGUGCUAGGUGUGUUGGCUACUAGUUUCAUCCCGUAGAGUUAAUGGGUUUACUAAUGAAAUGGAAUCUAAAGCAGAAGCAUCAGAUCUUCUCUCCAACUCUGGAAGUAAGGUUUCAUCUAAUACAAAGAAUAAGGUGCUGAAAGCCUACAAAUACUUACUGAAACUAGCCAAGCUACUAUUGAGGAAGGAAAGAAAGCCAGUUAGUGCAGAGGCUACAAUUGACAAGCUUAAGGAGUAAUGUUGCCCGGAAAGCAGGAUUCCAGUCUCGUUGACUCGGCAGGGAGGAAAGUGAAAGUUCUCUUAGUGCUACAGAAUUGACUACCUCCCGGAAAGCUUAUCUCAAGGCGACAUCCCGGCCAAGCAGACAGCCAGCCAAGAUCCUUCAAUACCAGAUGCGUAAGAUUUGUGAUAUGCGUAAGAUGGGUGAUACGGGUGGUUCCUCUCCUUCAAUGCUUCAAUGAAUAGAUAUAACGGCCAAGCUUAGGAUAGACAAGACACGCAGACAAGUAACUACUCCAUUCCCUCACUGCGGUUGUUACUUUAGCGUAACAUUAUAAGUGUCUUGGCGGGGAUUCAACCAGAACGGGAUCAGGAGCAGUACUAAAGGGAUGGGAUUCCACUCGCCCAGCAGAGCCAGCAGGGUUCAAUGAAUUGUAAACAUUGACUAAGAGAGCUUAGUUACUUAUGGUAAAAGGAAUGAGACCUUCUAAGCCCCAUAACUGCCACUACUGCUAUACCCAAACCAUACCCGAAACUAAGCUUUGGCACUAAGAAUAAGGGAACGAAUAAAGGAACUCUGCCUCUUGCUCUACAACAGUUGUUACCGAGUCCUUUGUUUGGGUUAGUGACUUAUUAACAGCAGUGAAAUCUCAAUAGGGAACUUCACCUUACCCAGUAGCAGUGAAAUCUCCAGCUCGGAAAGCACUCUCCAUUAAGUGGUAAAGAGAAAGGGUUGAUACAAUGCAAUCGGUAACUAUUUCUUUGAUACCUGAAUUCGGCUACUAUACUCUGGUUCCUUGAUACUCUCUCUGCUCUAGCUGUUAGUAACGAGUCCUGUGUGAGCCUGUCCGGUAAGAACUAGUUCGGUUUACAAGGGUUUCGUCAAAGUGGUAUUUACUACUUGUUUAUAGACUUACCCAUCACCUGCAGGCUCUGGCUCUGUGAACUCGGUGGGCAAGGGGCCAAGCAACUUCUAAUGACCAAGCAACGGCGAAAGACGUUGGGCGGUAGCCAAUAAACAGUUCUUACGAAGUUAUUACAAUAUAUGCCUUCGGCGGCAGGAGCCCCGGUAAUAUUAGUGGAAUUCUGGGACGAGUGAGAAGAAGACCGCUACUUAGCUACCCGGCUGCAUUCUGGUUAGCACUAGUUUCAGUAUGUGGCUAGUUAGUGUCAUUCUUAUCUACUACCCUGGAUGCUCUGAUCCACUACCCUAGAUGCUUGGCCCUUUGACAAUAGGUGGUUUAAUAACAUUCUUAUGGAUUAACUCGUUGAUGAAUGGAGGGCCCACUUUACGACGAGAAAGAAUUUGUACUCUAUAAAGCGAUAUUGAGCUGUAGUUAUCAAGUGGUCGUGUACUGUGUCUAUAGGAGAAUCUUUUAUCAACAUUUCUUUGACUACACUCAUUGCGGGCAUCCCUAUAACAUUUCUUUGCCUACACUCAUUGCGGGCAUCCCUCUCGGUCGAUAUUUCAGUAUUCCUAUAUACCCUACAAAAGAUGAAGUCUAUCAUAAACCCGGACUCCAUUAUCAUCUCGUCCUGUACCGUGGUCAAGUUAGGGACUCUCUCGAAAACUGGGUGAUCCCUAGCUGAUGCGAUCCAGCCGAGAUGGCGGAUCAACCGGAUCUUUCAUUCCAUGCCUUAUCUUUCGUUUUACAGAACUUCUAGCACUCGAAGCAUUCUCCUUAUGAUGAGAGAGAUGGUCUUGUUAGAAGGCGAGUAGUCCCUCUUGGAUCUUCUUCCUGCCAUUAGCUAAGAGACAGCUGGAUCGGACCUCUAUCUCGGACUUCCUGAAUUCAUGCUGGUUACAAAGAGAAAUCCACUCGCGGAAUCAGGACCUUGGCCAAAGAUGGAGUAAUAGGUUUCCGGGUAUGUGAGAACUUGUCGUCUUUGUCAGCAGGACCGUCGUGGAGCGGGUUGGAGCCAUUGCCUAUACAACAUCAAAAAGCUUCCAUCGCCCCGGAGAGACUUAGCUUAAUCUGGACGUCUUCCCAUUUCCAUUAAUUCCUUGACUUGUAACGAUAGUUCCUUUAAGACCAGUAUAGGGCUUUCAGGCGCCUGAUCUUAAUGAUAGGUGCGGUGCCGAGUGAAAGGCAAAAGUCAAGAUUACGUGCACCCAUGUCAAAGGUAACCGAGUCAUCGGAAAGGAAAAGGGAAUAGGUGGUUUUGCGCAUCCAAGGAUAAGGGUUUUGUUGCUUAAUAGCGGAUUCGUAGGUUACUAAAAAGAAAGUGGGAUUGGAAAUGGAACUCUCGACCUGACCUGGGGCGGAUAGGAAUUUCGACUUUCAAUGGAAUCAUUGGCUGGAUCGAGAUUAGAGCCCUUUCAUGAGUUUGAGCCCAGAGAGAUACCAAACUAACUGGACCUACUCCAUACACUUUUGGAAAAGUAGGAGCUUGUUAGUUAGUAUUUAUAGUAUGCUGUGGUUAGUGACUUAAUUGUAUCAUAUGCAACCUAAGCUAACGCUGACUUUUCUGUUGUUGCACUGGGCAAUAAUAAAGUAAAGGUGCUUGGCUUUCCCUUCCUUGACCUGACCGCAGGGUUUUUACUGAAUUCUAUUAGAUGAGCGCUCUCUUCAACAAGCAAGGGAACAAGUGAGUUUGUCGGCGCAAGAACAAGUGUAUGAGUGACAGAAGCCCUUUAACGAGGUGAGUUAACCGGCGCAAGAACAAGUGUAUGAGUGACAGAAGCCUUUUCUCGAGUGCUUUUCGACCUUGUAGUUUCAGAGUAGAGUUCCAGAAGUGCUUGUGUGCCAACCGUCCUUUGAAAUGAGUAAACGUUCUUUCUUCAUUGUCAAUAGUGCCCUUUCAGAUGUGUGGUGGGAGACCCGAUCUUAGAUCCUAAAUGGAGUCUCGUUGCAGGAAUGGGAUAAAUAAAGAAAUACUAUUACUGAUUUCAAUGAGAGUGGGAAGGAAGAGAGCAAGGAAGAGGCAUUCUGUUCUAUACUUUAGAGUGAGAAUCCUGGAGAAGAAGAGAAAAUCAUAUAAUCGAUUCUAUAUCCUCCAUAAAAGAAGGAGCUGUUAGUUAACUUAUGUAUGACUGACUUUAUCCAUUUUCAUGUAAUUCUCCAAUCUAUUUCUCUUACCAGCAAGCGGGAACGAAAGAAUAAGCAAUUGGGGGGCAGUAUGGAACUUGAUUCAAUAAUAAGAUAUAAGGCCCAAUGAAACAAACUAACUAACUAUGUUUUGAUUCGGAGGAUUGGGAAGUCAAUAAGAUAAAGUAUAGUAAGGCUUAUGAAUUACAGUACUUGGUGCAGGGAUAUAAUACCCCGUAUAUCAUGAGGCAAGAGAGAUAGAACUUUCUCAUUGCCGAGAGGUUUACUUCAGACUUCGAAGCCUCUAUUUCGGGUGCUUGCUUGAAACCCGGCCCGGCCCUGACUCUUUUUGUUUCCUAUCAAGAACCACUUCCCUUAGGCAACUCCAUUUACUGACUUACUAUUUCUCUAUCUCCAUAUGCCUCUGUCUAUCUUCCGACUAUUUCUCUAUCUCCAUAUGCCUCUGUCUAUCUUCCCCUUUUCCACGGGCUGGCUAAUCGAGUGAGUGCUUUUUGUGCAGAAAGAGUUAGGUAAGAAGGAAAGUUCUCAGAUACAGCAAUGCUUCUCUCUGGGAAAAAAACACUUGAUGAGGCUUCCUUACCAGAAGAGAAAGAGAAAGGAGAUGGACUGAUUCUAUGGUAGUGUUUAUUGCUUUCAACCUCCUCAAUUUCCUUCUCUCGUAUGCCAUCUGAGGACCUUGAUCCCCACUAUAGUAGCCCGAGUAAGAAAGUCCAAAUAUUCAAAUAAUGGAAAAACGCGAAGUUGACAGUUCUCUUUUUGCUAGAUUGACCUGACUUCAUUCGUGAAAAUCCGAACCUAUUGUAUUCCUGGCUGGAUCAGACCUCUAUGGGCCGAGCUCGUUCUUUCAUUUUAGGGAUUUUCUUAAAGGAAAGAGAAUUCUCUGGAUUGGAAAGUGCCCCCAGGUACGUAGACCUCGAUCCAAGCCCUUUUGUUACGUUAAUGGGAUAUCUGCUUUGGCAUUUCCCAAGUUCCGUUCUUCUAAAGCUUUGAUUCUUGAAACCUUAUUUCUUUGAUUUCCUUUGGAGCGGUAGAGAAAAAGAAGUAGACUCUCGUUAACUAAUUCGAAAAAGCAUGCUUAGAAACGUCUCUCUUUUGGAGGGUUGGAAGAAUCUAAUAUGAACAUGGAUUUCUAGUCCUUAAGUGUUGUAUAUUUUAUGGUUCUUUUUAUAUGAAAGCGGAUUGGAGACUUGACCGCGUUAAGCUAGCCCUCCGAACCGCUCUCGCUCGAUCAUUUGAAUAGGGGAAGUCAUCAGCUAAAAAAACUCCUGCAAGCCGCCCACUAAGUAAGAGCUCUGGCAAAUCAUUGAAUAGGAGUGUUGGAAAGCACUCAACUCAAACCUGCGCAGGAACAAGUAUAGUUGAGAGAGGUCGGGCCGGGUGUUAGUGUUUAAGUAGAGUUAUUGUGCGAAGAAAAUCCAGUAUAGGGUCGAAUGGCCUGAGUGUCCCGCUGCUUAGCCUUGUGAAACUGAUUGUACUGCUGGAGCAAUUGUGAAACUGAUUGUACUGCUGGAGCAAGUAGGUUCGAUAGGUGGGGUAUAUUUCCGAGUGGAGAUAGGUUGGGGAAGAAGAAAGUGUAUAUCCUAUAGAAGCAGGACUAUAAGCAAGAUCCGAAAGAGUUCAUUCCGUUUCUGUCGAGGUCCAGUCUCAAGUCGAGUCACAGUUCAAGUCAGAGUGAAGUCGACAACUUAAGAAGCAGUUUCAAGAGACGGAUCAGGCUCAGAACGGAAAGUCGAAGGUUGAGACAGAAUCUAAUCUAAAGUAAGCUGUUAUAGCAGUUGAAACAGAGGAAGCAGUGGUCUUUACCCGCAAUUAAUAAGUUAGCAAGUCCUUUUGAUUAGGCUAAGGCGUCAGUUAAUGAUUUUCCUGGUUGGUUGACCCGGGUUGGUUGGUUUACCCGGCACUUUUCAUCGUAUUUAGAAAGAAGCUCUGCUGAGGUGCUCUAGCUCUAAGUCUACGAGAUAAGAAACAAGUUGGUAUAGAACCAGAAUAAGGAACAGUGGAAUAAGUAUCUUCAGCAAUAGAUGGGGCAAGUCUUGUUGAGGUCGAGGUGAAAGUCAGAGUAUAAAGUAGGCGGGAAGUUGUUAAUUGUUCAAGAAAACAGUAGAUGUAGGAUUCCUUAUAAGGCCUUGAUCCAGGUCUGAUAGCUAGAAGAUGGAUAACCACCGAUUUGAUAAGAAAGUAACAACACAGCGAUACUUACAUGUUGAUGGAAGAAAGUAACCGAACAGCGAUACUUACAUGUUGAACAAAUUGCUUCUCAACUCACUACUGACUUAUGGAACUUGAAUGAAUUGGGGCUGACUGACCUUUUAGGUAUCGAAUUAUUGCGCAUGUCGUUUGUUGCUAGCGUUACUAAUGAUGUUUCUAUAGCUUAUUUCCUAGUAGCUCUGUUAGCGAGUUUGGCACUGCUUACAAUUAUUCCGCUUCCUAUGUGGGUGGUUCAUUGAUGUGUUGAAGCAGCGCUAUAGGAUGCUUGAGUUUGCUAGCUAACGGGUUAACCCAAUUUCCAUGAAGGCACUUUCUUUGGUCGAGAGAGAUCAACUCUACUGUCUUUUGAUUCUCGUUAUGUAAGCCUUAACCACGCAGUCUAUAGAUAGAGUUGGGACAGGCAAUACUUAACUACACUUUCCUUUCGAACUGCAAUGGAAUCUUUGGACCACCAAUAAUAGAGUAAUUAAUAACACUGUUUCUUUUCUUAUAAGCUAGUCCUCUUAUUCUCUUGCCGACCUUACCUCUACAUGAAGUUCAUAAUUGGAUUUGAUCUCUCUUGUACAUGGUAUAGCAUUUGAGUGUAAAGAUACGGAACUUGUCCUUGUUUGUUGCGCUAACGGAGCUGACGGUUAUGCAUUAGCUUACUUUCCAGGGUGUCAAUAUUCAUGAGAUAGUUUUUGAGUGUUGUAGAGUUUCGCAGUGUGGUUAGAUAGAGCAUGAGCUGGAUCUGAAUUAGGAUAUUAAGCAUAAGAGGGAGCAGGAGUAGUGUGCGAAUCCCUUAAUGGAUAAAGUAAUGCAAUCAAACAAACAUGUGAACAAAACUCACUAGCAAACUCGGUAAUGUAAGCUUAUUCUCGGGAUGCGUUAGUGAGCUCGGGCUCGGGGCUAAUACUUAGCUUCUUUUCCGGAACUUGACUUUCCGUGGGCAGCGGAUUCUCGAGUGGACUUGAAUUGAUUUGCUGCUGACUUUAUACUCUUACUUUUCACUACUUAUGCUGACUUACUUUAUGCUGCUGAUUAAGAUUAUGCUGAUUACUCUUAUUCUCUAAUUACAAUAAUCAUAUUAUAUACGAUCGAUUGCCCUUACUUAUUAAGGCUUGCCCGAACUACACUACAUUGCCAACACAACACCGAUUUGCUUCCCGUAUCAAGCAUCUGAUAUUCUCAUUUCGGAAUGGAAUGAAAGCUUACGGAGUUUUGCUUCAUCUAGCGUUAGGCGAGUUCCAGUUAUUUGUUCGAGUCGAUACUCUUACUCUAGAUGAGGUCAAUUCGAAUCCUCGGACACUACAUCACGGGCUCUUUACAGAAAGAGUGGCCCAUAGCAAUAGCUUUUAGGGAUUCUCGAUCCUCUAAAGUCCGCCUUUUUCGAGAUGUACGGAAAAGGAUCCCCUGGCUUUCUUAAUAGCUUCUUAUUAACUUGCCCUAGUUUCAAUACUCCUUUACUAGUUUCGACUGGCUUUCCUUUCUCAAGUCCCCACGGCAAAUAAUACAACGUUAUCGAAAGCUUCAUUUUCCAGGAAAGGAUGGCUUCAUUUAGGUGUUAAUCUAACUCAGCUCAAUCUAUUCGCUCACUUAGGAAUAAAUGACUUUAACUCGAUGUAUUUCCCUUGCUUGCUUUACGAAACUAGAUUUCACGGAACUAGCAAGAGUGCGAGUAUAAGAGGCCCUUUCAAUAAACCCUUUCAGUAUUACCUACUCUCGAUAGAAACUCUUUUCUCGCCUACCCUUCGCCACGUCAACAGGAUCACUGGGUACUCCAACAAAGGCUGGCAAGCACUUUCACAAUGGAUAUGAUUAUUUUGGCACAAAGCUUAUUAGAGUAUUCUUCCAAAGCAUGUUCUAUAAAGCAUGUUCCUUCUAUAAAGCAUGGAUAGCCGGAAACUAGCAAUAUUACAAGAGAGAAAAGCCACUCUAUCUGAAUCGAAGGUGCUUGCAACUUCACUUACGAGGGACAAACAAACUUGAUGGUAUCUUGUGUCAAUGGUAGCUGGAUGGCCCAGUUAAAGCUCUCCGCAAUCAGAAUAUCCGGCAUUCUUUCUAUCAGCCUCCGAUAAUGGGCAUUGAGCUUGAGAAAAUGUGGAUAACCUGCCUAUAAAGAAAGGUGCUGCAAGCCUUAGAAACGAAAGAAAUUGAUACCAUCGAUAUAGUCUUCGAUUCAACUCGAAAGAAAGUCGAACCUAGAAAAACGAGAGAGAUAUUUGCUAAUCAGGCUCCCCUCCAGGGGUCUCGGGAUAGCAUAGCAAGUGAAAAAGCUGGGAAAAAGCCCAUUUUGGAUGAGGACGUGUGUGGUCGCUGAAAGCCACUACUAUUCCUGAAGUAACGGAGUUCUGAGAACAAGAGGGAUGUGGUGACUAGCCAAGUGGAAUAUGUCAGGCACUCUCCCAGUUAAUUGAUUAGAGCAGGUUGGAAAAGCGUUACUUAAUUGUUUGAAAACUAGAUACAUUCUAGGCUCUUACGUGAAGAUCACUUACCAGCUCUCUAUUGACUUGACUCUAAUAGCCAUAACUAUUCUAGCCUUACUGGCGGAGUUAGGUUCUCUGAUGAGUCUCCCCUUCUUCCGGUUGCUGCCGAAGUAUAUGCUCCGCUUUGGUUAAUAUCCUUGUGCUAUAGCUAUCUUUGCUUACAAUUUGACCGAUAUAAAAGGCGCUUCAUUAAUCUAUCCCUCCCUAAACUAGCUGUUUAGCAUCUUCAAGCUUGGGAAAGAGUGCUCAGAGUAUAUCGGCUAUGUGCUGCCUAUGUUGACUUGGAGGUCCUAAGCACGUAUCUAUCUCUCUUCCUCUCUUCGCUUUGGACUUAAUAGAUUGAAACCCGUUUUUGGAGUGCAAAAUGCCUUUGCUUUGUUUUACCCCUGUCUUUCUUUCUUAUUAAGAGUUUCGUUAUUUGUUUCUUCCCUAUAUAUAUAAGAGUUUCGUUAUUUCUUUCUUUCCUAUAUAUAUAAGAGUUUAUUAGUUAUUUGUUUCUUCUUUUUCUUUCUUAUAUAUAUAAGAGUUUCUUUCUUUCUGAUUUUGCACUUCACUUCUUAUUUGUGUUUGUGUUAGUUUUUCGAAAAACCUUUGCCGAGGAGCUCAUAUAGCGCCAAACAUAAGUCUAAAGGAGAUCGAUAGGGUCCACGGCUCGCUCUUUAGAGAGGAAACACUAAAUGGGAGCCGAUGGCAUUACAUUGACAUGAUUUACAAACGGAGCUGGAACUCGAGGUAGAGGAAAAGGGGGGCAAGGAGGAUGACUUUCUUAUAUAUUUUCGAAUUCGAGAUGAGGGAUGAGCGAGACGCUUGUGCCAAUAACACAUUGGAUGGGAGCCUUCUCUUCUCUGGCUAAAGGUUUUGCCGCGGGAACUCGCACAGAGGCCUUAAACUAAUCAACAUCAUCCUUAUUCGGGCCUCCAUGUAGAAAUCAACCUCGUACGCUGAUCCUUCACCCCCCAAUUCGAUGGGAAAAAGGAAAUGGAAAGUGUCUUGCAGAACAGAGAAACGGAGAAUUUCUUCUUUGUUAAUAGAUGGAACACUAAUAGAGGUUUUUUGAUCUAACAUGUGUUAUACCCAAACCGGAUCCAUCACCUAGAACGAUCUCAUCAGGCCCUUUCAUACUCAUAGUUCAGAGAGAGAUUGCUUAAGUCACUGGUAACACUCUUAGAGGCAGCCGAGUAAACAAGCCAUCCUUUCUUGAUGGGGGGAGAGGACGACGCACAGUUGGCUACAGGAUCCUUAGUUUGGUGGUGCGCGAGGACAUUUUCCGGCGGUGUGGCCGGCUCUUCCAGGUCAUUAGUUUUAGUUGUUAGUUUACACACUCUUUUUUCACCUUGGGCUUUCUGUCCAUUUCGGUUAUUGCUCUAUUUGUUUGCUUGAUUGUUAUUGCUGAGCGAGUGUAAUUGGCUGUUGCUAUGGAUACAUCACUACCAGCUUCUUUUCUUAUAAGAGACCCCUCAUAUGCCACCAGCUUCUUACCCCUCAUAUGCCACCAGCUUCUCAUGCAACUCCUCAAAGGUUAUGGGAUUUUCUCGUGCACGAACCAGCAAUCUCCUUUCACUCUGACCAUUCUUAGCAUUCAUAACGAUAUCGUCCUCAGCCAAUGGUGCAUCAAUGAUGGCUAACUCAUCUUAGAUAGUAUUUCUCUGUUGUGCAAGUCUUUUGCCACAGGUUUCGAGUCAUGGCGAGUGAGGGUGAGCCGCUCUUUCUGAUUCAUAACUCUUGAGCGAGAUCUAUUUGCAUAAAGUUUGCCAAGCUUCGUCUAGGCUUCAUGAGAUGUUUUUUCAGAUGCUAUAAGAGGCAUGCCCUAUUCUGAGACUGAUGCAAUGAUAGCAUGCAGCAACAACGGAUCCUGUCGAACCCAAUAGGUGUAGGAUUUGGUGAGACCGAGUGAUUAAAGGGCACCCAUCCUGAACAACGGUCUUUCGAAGGGCAUGGCACAGAGCCAUCAACAAAGCCCAUCAGGUCAUAACCAAGAAAAGCUGCGAGUGGAACUGAGAACGCCAUGAUGGAAAAUUCAUGGGCUUGAGUUUCGUUUCAGAGGUGACUGGGCAGCGGCAUUGAUCGAAAUAAGGGCGCUGCUCGAAGCGAGUCAAGUAUAUGUAUAGACAACCACGUGAGCGGCAGUUGAGUGUUAUUGGAUGCCAUGGGGGGUGCUUUUCUCUCUUGCUCGUUGGAGCGUGAUUGCUCCGUUACCAUGUUCUACAAUCAUGUGCUCCAAAUUCCGCUAUCAUAGGCCUAAUAUUCUAGUGUUGCAUCUAUCGCCUCUGGGCUUUCUUUUCUAUUUCUUUCACAAUGAAAACGUCGUGCAGAUGCUCAGGUGCCUACGGCUGGCUGGUCAAAUAACAGGGAAUCAGAUUAUACAAAAGAGAAACUCCAAUGCAAGAGACAGAAGAGAGAUAAUGGGUUUCUAUGAAUUGGCCUGUCCUACGAAUAGGCGCUGUCCAGAGUUCCACUUUCGGCUUGGAUGGAAUUGCUUAAGGAAAGGCUACUUAUUUCUUCCCUUCCUAUUUCAUUGGAGUGCCUACUCUUGCUCGAAAUUAUGAGAAAACUCCCACCUUGAAGAGAGCUAAAUGAAAACCAACAAUAGGACUGAAUGAAAGCGCCAUCACCCAAGGACGGAACCUUUCCUAUACCAGUACUUAAGCAAGAGACUCUUAUAAGUCCAAUACUGAUCAACGAAUAGAAUGAUUUUGCCGUAUCGGGGGAAGCGCUGAUUCAAAAGACUGAUCUUUCUGACUCAUUUUCUGACAUUGCCUUCUCUUUCUGACAUGAGACUUCUCUUUCUUUCAAAGGGUAACUAGCCUAAGAGUCACUUCCGAAGCGCAACGUAUGGGACGAAAUCCGGCAUUGCUAGCUCUGAAUGAAAUAGAUCCAAUCCACUAUGAAGGCAAUGGGUCUGGUCUGAGAAAAGAUAGGGCCACGCCCCUACUGCCUAUAGAAUGAUUGCCAUUAAACACACUAUAUAUAUGGAUAAAGGAUGGAAUGGAAUGAAAGAAACUCCUACUGCCUAUAGAAUGAUUGCAAUUUCCAUAUAUAUAUCCAUAUGGAUAAAGGAUAGAAUUGAUAGAAACCCCUACUGCCUAUAUUCAAUUGAUAUUCUACUUUGAUGGAUGGAAUUGAUAGAGAAAGAAAGCACCGUCAAGAUCUCGAACGGUUGAGGCGCUUUUUCUUAUCCAUAGAAAACAGAAAAGAACUUCCUUCGCGAGGAGCCUUUGAAUCGAUGCACCGAAGAAAGGAAAGAUCGAGAUGCCCUUUUAUCAACAUCACGGAAUCGUCGAGAAUGAUGAAUUGGCUAUUUGAAAAUAGGAAGAAAACCACAGCAUGUAAGGUUUCGGUCCAUCUUACCAUAUAAGGAAAAGCCCCAGAUACUUGAUCUGAUUCCCACUACUAUUUAUUAGCUUAAGUCACCAGACCUAUCAGACAGGGAUAAUCAUUCUGGUCCUGUCCUCUGGGGGAAUAACUUCUGAGACCUUAGAGCAAGUGUAAAGACCAAUCCAGCAGCAAAGCAAAAUAGCUGCCCCGUUGUCUUACCCGCCAAAAGGAAAAGCAGACAGACCCAUUCGAUGCAAUCCAUGGUAGUUGUGCCUUAGCGAGCUCUU
Molecule: long non-coding RNA, 74157 nt
Filed under: Musa acuminata (dwarf banana)
Lineage: Eukaryota; Viridiplantae; Streptophyta; Magnoliopsida; Zingiberales; Musaceae
Description: long non-coding RNA (MACU_LNC007983)
Source: RNAcentral